RNAcentral lists this long non-coding RNA (69878 nucleotides) under Citrus maxima (pomelo). RNAcentral describes it as "long non-coding RNA (CMAX_LNC001513)". Lineage: Eukaryota; Viridiplantae; Streptophyta; Magnoliopsida; Sapindales; Rutaceae. The record is from RNAcentral.
GGGCAGCUGCGUGGCAAACGGGUCUUUUGUCUACAAAUCAGCUUAAGGUAGUGCAUACGGGUCCAAAAAUGCGUGAAUCCCAUGUAACGGAGCUCCAAUCAGAAACCCGAAAUCAAGUUCUGGAGUUGAAAAUCAAAAUCAUGAACCAAAUCAGAGUUAUUAUUGAAUUAGACAAUCCAUAAACCAAUAGAAGGUAAAAAAAGAGGAAUAAAAAUUCUUCUAAAUUCUUUCACCAUCAACAAAAUCAGUAAAACACAUACUGAUUCAAAAUGACAUAAAGUUUGUGAAUUGAAAUAAUGCCAACUCCUAAGAAAAAUUAUGACUGCUGAUAUUUUUUCUGAAAUGCUGAUAAAAGCUUCUGCUAUUUACUUUGAAAAAAUAGAGGUUAGAAGCCAAUUUACUUGAAAUUCUGAGUUUAGGCAAGAGGAUGAAUGGCAAAAGUGAAACAUUUUAGGGAAAAAUGUACUUCAGAGGCCAAUGAAAGCAUUCAGAAGAUUGAAAUCUAAAUAAGCAAAACCCCGUGGCCUUGAUCCAACAAAUCCACUGCUGUUGACAUGCCUGCAAGCCCAGCUCCAAUAAUAGCCACUUUCAGCUUUGGUCCUCUAUAAUGUUCCGGUUCUGGUAGAAACAAGCCCUUGGGAGCUGCCAAGUAUACCAUCCAAUUAUCCACAGCGAUAAUGGAAAUAUAUAUGUGUUUAAAGGUACUAAAUUCCUAAACAUGAAAUGUAUCCAAAGAGAGACACAAAGCAGAAUUGUGCAAGCAUUUCAAUUCCCAAUAAAUUUUAAGAAUACAAAAUACUCGGUCUGUUCCUCAAUUCCUUUAAUAAAAUUUCCACUAGAGGCUACGGAAGCCACUCAAUAACACUCCAAAGCCAGAUUUUAAAAGUUAUCUUUAUCUUUAACUCCAAUCCAUAAACAAUUCUGCCACAAAUUCAAUCCAAAAUUGUUCAAGUGCACCGCCACUUCUCCAUCAAUUCCCUCAAAAAUUCAUAAUUGGCAAACACUACAAACCAAAAAGAGCUUCCAGCAAUAAACGCAUAAAAAUCCACCAAGCAACAUAAAACAAAAUACCCAGAAACCAGAAAAGCCAAAAGAUCAAUGCUUGGCAAACAAGCCAAUCAAAUAAAACAAAAAGAAGAGAAAUUUACCAUUAACGCUCAUAUCAGAAACAUUAGUGUCCAAAGAAGCCCGUACACGGAAUCUUGGAUCCUUCACUUGAACCCGAGACCAUGUAAUGCCAGUAACUGAAGUUGCAGGAAACAGAGCUGAAGAACCCAUAUUGCAAAUCCUGAGCUGAAAUCAAAGAAAUUCAAUUGGAACUCAAUUCAGCUCAACCGAGCGGAGCUCUCUUUUGCUUCAAUAACAAAGUGUUUUUCUUUCAUAUCAACAAAGAUUUGUCAACAUCAACAAAAUUUAACUAAGAAACUAAAAUAAUGCGGUAUCUUUGAGUUUAAGAAUCUAACAAGAUGCUAAGGAAGAGAGUUUUGUCAGGGAACUGUUUCGGAGAGGUUGGCCAAGUGGAUUUUUGUUUUUUUCUUGUUUUGCCCUUUUCAUUAAUGCACAACAUUAGUCCACGUGAAGAGCACAAAAAGCUGGUGGCUUUGUCACUAACGAUAAUGGAUGGAGUGUCCAAAGCAACCAACUAAAUUUUAAAGAGAGGGAAUGAUAAGUAAUAUUGUGAACAGAGGAGAAGAAUAAAAAUUUUUCUUAUUUUUAAGUUUUUCCUAACAGCCAGUAUAAUAGAGUUAAUUUAUAGGUCUACACAUUUUUAAUUUAACUUCUUAAUUUUUGGAAAUAUGUAAAUUAGUAACAGCUAUACAAAUCAGACAAAUUAGACAAUUAAUUCUAGAAAUCAAGAAUGUCAACUAAUCUAAUCUUUCCAUAUUUUCUACACCCCCCUCAAGUUGGUGCAUAGAUAUUAAUCAUGCCCAACUUGUCAAUGAAAGAUCCAAACUUUGGCCUGAAGUGUCCCUUGGUAAGAACAUCUGCUGUUUGUUGCUCUGAAGGGAUGAACGGCAUACAAAUUACUCCAUUCUCCAGCUUUUCUUUUAUAAAAUGUCUAUCAAUCUCAAUAUGCUUCGUACGAUCAUGCUGAACCGGAUUAUUUGCAAUGCUUAUUGCUGAUUUAUUAUCACAGAACAGUCUCAUAGGUGCUUCAAUAUCUAGUUUCAGUUCUCCAAGGACUCUUUUAAUCCAUAACACCUCGCAAACUCCAUUUGCCAUGGCCCUAAACUCAGCUUCAGUACUGCUCCUGGCAACCACGUUUUGUUUUUUGCUUCUCCAAGUAAUUAAAUUUCCCCAUAAGAACGUACAGUAACCAGAUGUUGAUCUUCUAUCUGAAACUGAGCCUGCCCAGUCUGCAUCUGUGAAGACUUCUACACUCCUUUGAUCACUCUUCUUAAAUAAUAACCCUCUUCCAGGUGUACUCUUUAAAUACCUGAGAAUCUUGUGAACUGCCUCCAAAUGUUCCACAUAAGGUGAGUGCAUAUAUUGACUUACAACAUUAACGGCAAAGGCAAUAUCAGGUCUUGUGCGAGAUAAAUAAAUGAGUUUCCCUACAAGACGUUGAUAUCUACCUUUAUCAACUGGAACUCCAUUGGAAACCUCUCCUAACUUCUAAUUAGGAUCCACGGGUGUAUCACUUGGUCUGCAACCACUCAUUCCUGUCUCUUCUAGCAAGUCCAGAACAUACUUUCUUUGUGACACAGAAAUUCCCAUUCUAGAUCUUGCAACUUCCAUACCUAAGAAAUAGCGUAAAGGACCCAAAUCCUUAAUUUUAAAUUCUGAUGCCAGGUGCUUCUUCAGCCUACUCAUCUCAUCACCAUCGCUCCCAGUAAGUAUUAUGUCGUCUACGUAUACAAUUAGGACAGCCAUCUUUCCACCAUCUGUGUGUUUCACGAACAUUGUAUGAUCAGAUUGUCCUUGACUAUAUCCUUCUUUUCUAACAAACCUAGUAAAUCUCUCGAACCAAGCACGAGGAGACUGCUUCAGUCCAUAAAGGGAUUUCUUCAAUUUACACACCUUUCCUCCAAACUUGUCUUCAAAACCAGGGGGUGCAUUCAUAUAUACUUCCUCUUCCAAUUCUCCAUUGAGAAACGCAUUUUUAACAUCCAAUUGAAACAAUGGCCACUCCAAAUUAACAGCUACAGAGAGUAGUAUUCAAAUGGUAUUUAGUUUGGCUACGGGAGCAAAUGUCUCUUGAUAAUCAACUCCAUAGGUCUGUGUGAAUCCUUUUGCUACUAACCUUGCUUUAUAGCGUUCCAAGGAUCCAUCUGAGUUGUAUUUCACAGUGAAAAUCCACUUGCAACCAACAAUCAAUCUUCCUUCAGGCAAAUAAACCAUCUCCCACGUUCCAUUUUUUUCUAGAGCCUCCAUUUCUUCACAAACAGCCUUCUUCCAUUCAGGAACCUUUAGUACUUCCUGUAUAGACUUAAGUAUAUCCACACUUGACAAUUGAGAGACAAAAGUACGAUAAGAUGAUGACAGGUUCUUAUAAGACACAAAAUUGGAAAAGGGAUGUUGAGUACAUGAUCUAAUUCCUUUCCUAAGAGCAAUGGGAAGAUCUAGAGGGUCAGAAUGUAUUUGUGGGAUAGAUAAAGACUCAGACUUUAUAAAUUUAGAGAUCGUACCUGGAUUUUCAAAAUCAGUGUUUUUCGGAUCUGGAAUUGGAUCAGAUUCAUGGCAUUGAGGAAGUAUCACUGCAUCUUUCUUACUUUGAAUCCGUUUCUCCCUAGUGUAAGUUUUCCCGAACAAUCUCUCAUCAUUAAAGCGUGUCUCGUCUAUUAUCCUAGAGUCAGUUUUAUGUUCAAGCACUAAGGUAGUCCUCCUAUCCUCCAUAUUCAAGGUAUUAGGAUUAAAAAUUUCAGUUUCAAUAUUUUCCUUACCAUUAGUACUCAUGUCAAGCUCAAACACCGAGUUUUUAUUUUUUUCCCCCCCUGAAGAGGAGGAUUAAAAAAACUUUGAGACUCAAAGAAUGUAACAUCCAUUGUGACAAAAAAAUUUUGUUUGUUAGGAUCAAAACAUUUAUACCCUUUUUGAGUAGGAGAAUAGCCCAGAAAAACACAUUUUACAGCCCGUGGAUCUAGCUUAUCCCUAUUAUGAUUGUGUACAUGUACAAAGGCAACACAUCCAAAGACCUUUAAAGGUAAAUCUGAAGUCAAACGUGUCAUUGGAAAGAAUUUUUUUAAAACUGUCAAUGGUGUCUGAAAGUUCAAAACUCUUGAUGACAUCCUAUUAAUAAGAUAUGUAGCAGUAAGAAUUGCUUCCCCCCAUAAGUAUUUAGGAACUUUAGUGGUGAACAUUAAAGACCUAGCUAUUUCUAGGAGGUGCUUAUUUUUUCGUUCUGCUAUCCCGUUUUGUUGAGGAGUGUCAUUACAAGAGCUGUGAUGAACAAUUCCUUUUUGUAAGAAAAAUGACCCCAAUAUUUGAUUAAAGUAUUCCUUCUCAUUGUCACUUCGAAACACUUGAAUUUUUGUUUGAAAUUGUGUUUCAACCAUAUUAUAAAAGUUUUUAAAAACAUGUUCUGCUUCAGAUUUUUCUUUGAGUAGAUAGACCCAACUUAGGCGUGUAUGAUCAUCAAUAAAUGUUAUAAACCAUCUUUUUCCAGAAUUGGUUAAUGUCCUAGAGGGACCCCACACAUCACUAUGAAUAAGGGUAAAAGGCUUGGAUGCUUUAUAUGGUUGACUAGGAAAAGAUGCACGAUAGUGUUUAGCUAACUGACAAAUAUCGCAUUGAAAAGACGAUAGAAGUUUAUUACGAAAUAAGUUUGGAAACAAAUGUUUUAAAUAUAAAAAGCUAGGAUGGCCUAACCUACGGUGCCAUAACAUUAUUGUAUCAUCAGUAGAACUGAAACAUACUUUGAGAUUUGAAAUUUUCUGUUGCUGAAACAUAGAGUUCCCAUCAUCAAAGUAAUAGAGACCGCCAUACUCUAGCAUUGCCAAUCAUCCUCCCCGUAUCCAGUUCCUGAAAUUCACAACAAUUUGGAAGAAAUUUAGCACAACACUUUAAAUCACGAGUUAUUUUACUUACAGACAAAAGAUUACAAGAGAGAUUUGGAACAUGAAGGACAUCGUGAAGAACAAGAGUAUUAGAGAUAAUAAUUGACCCUUUCCCAGCAAUUGCUGAGAGGGAGCCAUCAGCAAUCUUAAUUUUUUUGAUUGCCUGCACAAGGACUAUAGAAAGAAAAUAAUUUAGAGCAUCCAGUCAUAUGAUCGGUGGCACCUGAAUCUAUUAUCCAUGGACAAAGAGGAAUAGUGGACACAUUAAAGACAACAGCAGAUUGAAUAUAAUUACCUUUCUGGGCUAAGGAACAAGAAGAAGAUACUGGAUUAGUCACUUGUGUGGACUGAAAAAGUUUAUACAGUUGUUCUAACUGUUCCUUACUGAAUGAAGGUGUCGUAGCUGUAGUUGCAGUGAAUCCCGACAGUAGAAACUCCCCUGCGCCAAUUCCAGUAGAUGUAGCAGUGGAAUUGGUAUCACCAGUUACUGUAAACCCAGGCAUGGUGUUUUGCACCAUUACAACAAGACAAUGAACAGAUCCGUAUGGGAGUCAAGCCAGGCUUAAUUCUGCCAUAGCUCUGAUACCAUGUGAACAGAGGAGAAGAAUAAAAUCUUUUCUUAUUUUUAAGUUUCUCCUAACAUCCAGUACAAUAGGGUUAAUUUAUAGGUCUACACAUUCCUAAUUUAACUUCUUAAUUUUUGGAAAUAUGCAAAUUAGUAACAACUGUACAAAUCAGACAAAUUAGACAAUUAAUCCUAGAAAUCAGGAAUGUCAACUAAUCUAAUCUUUCCAUAUUUUCUACAAAUAUCUUAAUGGGGUGAUUAAUUAAUUUAUUAUCAAGCAAUUGUAUUUAUUUAUUUAAAAGAUAUCCUUAUCUUUGUACAAGGUUUGAGGAAAGACGACGAUGUUGUGUUGUCACAUAUUUUUACAUUUCUCCAUAAUUCACUGCAACAUCAACUGGGCCACCACCUCUUGCCUCUCCUGGUUCCCCUCAAUUUUCGUAUUCAAUGUCCACCGUUGAUUGAACAUUUAUUAAAAUUCUGUGGUUAUUGUUUUUUUGCAUACAUUUAAUUCCACACGGUCUAUGGAUAGAGCAGGUGCAUCGUAGUUGUGGCCUUAAUUGUUAUUGGUAACUCAAUAGCUAAUUCUAAUGUUUCAUCAAGCAGUUUAGAGAUAACCUCUCUCGCUGAACUCCCCGGAGUAAUGCAAUCCAGUUUUCCAGUGCAAUCAUCAGACAGUUGAACAGCUUCUGAAUUCCCUUUGCUUUUCUUGUUUUCUUUUCCAUGUAAAGGGAGCUCAGGCUUCAAUAUAUCUGGGGAUUGAGUACUAAUGAUAAAGACAACAUACGGUAGAGGACACAAAUUGUUAUUAAAGAAUGACGCACUUUUCAACUGAGUACAGUAAAGCAAGAAUGGAUAAUUAGUUUUACCUGCAACGUGAAAAUCUAGACUCCCGACGAUAACCGAUCUUUGGUGAAGCAAAUAAAGAAGAAGGCGAAGUAAAAUUCACUGAGUUGAAUGAGCGAUCAUUGCGUAUGGACUUGAUUUGUUCAAUGGGUGAAAGACUGCUGAUAUAAUUAAAGACUGGAGAAUCCUGCAUGUUGACAAGCAUCAUUUUUAAUCAGCAUAGAGUCUUAAAAACCUAGUCAGUGGCAAAUGAUCAUGACAAGAAAUCUGAAGUAGAAACAGCAGAGCUCAACAAAUCACUAAGAGAAAAUAAGACCACUAACCAAGCAGAUGAAAGAAAAGCAAAAUAACCCAUCUCAAAUCACCACAUGCACAAUUUAAGGGGGCUGUGACAUGGGUGUAAACAUGACUUAACAAGUGCCACCAGUGAAUUCUCAGAGAUUGAAUUUUCAUACACAUGUCAAAUUUUUAAAUCCAACAAAUUGUUAUCUUUCUGAAGAUAUUAACUAUGCAUAGCAUGCUAUAAACGAAUCAUAUUAUCAGGGCCUUUGUUUGCCGUACACAGCAUAUGCACAGAGGAACAAAUCCAUGAGCUGAAAUCAUCAUAUUCCAAAAUAUUCUACCCAAUCAACACUACAAAACCCCAACGCUAAACAGAAUUGGAGCGAUUUACGAAAGCUAUUUGUCACACAAAGCACUAGUACCUCAGAACCCAAUUUGCAAAAAAGCAACAAAAAUGAAAAAUAGCAAAUGCCCAGAUGAAAAAUCAGGCAAAAAAUCCAAACUACAACCCCAUAAGCUGGGUCGUUCUCUUCAAACUGAAUUAAAAAAAAAAUUAAAAAAAUUAAAAUGGGGAGAUUGACCUCAAACUUGGAAACAGAAGCGACAGCGAUCUGUUUCUUGUCUGGAGUGUCCAUUUCUAUAAUCUACUUUGUCCGUUUUCACUUUUCAGUUGCUCAGCCACAAAGCCUCUUCAGUCUGAAGCUGAAACUCACCACACACUUGCAAAACGAAAGCAUUUUUUGAUUGAUUGAGAGGCGGGAAGGCGGGAAAACGAGAGAAAUUUGCCUUUGUUUUUUCUUCGUUUGGUCAUACAUGCGCGGGCCCCAGCUUGACAAGCGUUAUUAUUACUAUUUGCAUUAUUUGAAGGACGCGUGUCAUGCAAUGACGAUAGAAAAAGUGGUAAAGUGGUGCAAACUCGAAUGGUCACGAAAUGACGAUAAAAUAAAAAUAUAUUGUUAAUUUUUCACUUAACAUUGGAAUACCAUAUAAUUUUAUGGUCAUUUUCUCGCCGUACGCCACAUUCUUUUGAUAAAAUAAUACGGUAAAACUUUUCUAUAAUCAUGAUAUUAGAACCCAAUUAACUUUAUUUCUAUGAAGAUGUUAUAGCUUAAUAAAGGUAAAAUUGUAAAAAAUAUUAUUUUGACUUAAUUAUCUUUAGUACAAGUGAUAUAAAAAGUAAAUAUAUGAUAAUUAAUUAAUAAAUUAUGUCAAAUAUAAUAUAUGGACAAUGAUAAAAAAAGAUAGACAUAAUUUCAGAAAACUAAUACAUAUGUUUUUGUAGUGCUGGGAUUAUACAAAGUUAUUGUUGUGUAUUCAGUUAAUCAAAUCAAAGAGGAUGAAACGGCAGUGCUGACACGCGUUUUGUAACGUUCAACAACUUAAGCAAAAUGACGUGUGAAGACUGCGUUUAAAUAAGUAAAUCAAGUGCUUGUUAGAAUGACAUACAGUCUUGCCGUUUUGGAGUUAAUGAAGCACAAGCAGAACAUGUGCAAACGAGAAGGUUGUUUAGAAGCCGUUAUUGCACAUGAUUAGCACGAGCGUUUCUGGAAAUGCCUCUGAGGUUCGUUAUAAGCUGUUACACAUAGCUUGAAGAGAGAGAGAGUUGACGAGAGACUGAGAGCAUUGUAACAAGAGAAAGAAAGCUUGAGAGUUAGGAGUUUUCUUGUUCUUAUUGAGUGCUUGGUAAUCUCUGUAAUCAAGACUUGAGCAAAAUCAAUAAAGCUGAUGAGUUUGUUCCCCCGUGGAUGUAAGUCAAUGCAAAUUGACUGAACCACGUUAGCUAGCUGUGUUAUGUGAUUUCUUGCAAUUCAAUUCAAUUCUUUGUUUGUUUCUAAACACAAUCAUUGUCUUAGUUAAUUGUACAUUACUUCUUUAUCUUUUCUGAUUGUUUAGUGAGCCAUCUUGUUGUUUCUAAUAAGAUCUUGGGGGAGUGUUCUGUAAAGCUUGCUGGUAUUUGCUUAUCAGAAUCUUCAGAUAUCUUAAAAGUGUAAAGAGUAAAGUAUUGUUCUAAUUAAUUUAAAAAAAUAUUUUAUUAUUAACCUUUAAUGCAAUAUAGCAAUUUUUUUUCCUUGGCAACAAGGCAUUGUUCCAAAUAAUUAUUAUUGGAUCCAGAUCCUGUCGUAGACAUUUUCUCUAUUAAUUUUCCUAAACUUUUAGGGUAUGUUUGGCACGUAGGAUUGGAUUGGACUAAAUUAGAAUGAAUUAGAUUGGAUUGGAUUGGAUUAUAUAUAGUGCUGACUUAUGUUUGGUAUGAUAUUGUAUUAGAUUAUGUUAAAUUAAGUUUACAUGAAAUUAAAUAGUAUUUACAUUAAUAUUUGAAUUUAAAUAUCAACUAUUUAUAGAUAUUUAACAAGAAAUAUUAUAAUUAAUUAAAAAUAGCACUAAUAAGGUGUGUGUGUGUGUGUGUGUGUGUGUGUGUGUGUGUCUAUAUAUUCAUUUAGUUAUUUGGUAGUCAUAAUUAUAAUAAAGAAAUAUAAAUUAUUUAAAUUAUAGGUUAUUUCAAAGAGUAAUGAGAGAUAUCAUUUCAUUAAAUAAAAUAAAUAAAACUAUUCAAAUAAUAAAUUAAUUAAUAAAUAUUAAGUAAAUCAUGAAUAAAAAAGAAAUUACUUAAUUAAAAACAAUAAAUAAAUAAUUUUUAAGUUAUAAAUAAAAUUGUGUAAUAAAUUAUGGAAGAUAUUAUAAAUACACAAAUAUUUUUUUCACAUUAUCUAGUCCCAACUAAACCCACAUAAAAAUUAGUAUUAGCAAUUCCAUGAAUUUAGGAUUAAAAUUUGAAUUUAGUCCAUUAAUCCAAUCCAAGUGAGCAUGCCAAACAUGGUAUUAAUAUUUUAUCCCAAUAAUAAGUCCAAUCCUACACUAAAUCCUACCUCCCAAACAUAACCUUAAGAAUCUAUUGACAUGUGUCAUUAAUGAAAUUAAAAGGCUACGAUUUUGUUUUAAUUAAUUUUUACCUAAAUAGAUAUCAAAACUCAUGUGUGACUCUUGUUAAUUUUUUUCUUACAAUUUCUUUUCCUCUUAAUUCUUUAUAUUGACACUGAUUUCUAGCAAAUUAUUAAAAAAAGAAAGAGAGCACAAAUUGGAGAAAAGUGAUUGACAACAAGGUUUGCAUCUUAAUUUCAAAAUUUUCCUUUCUUUGUUGUUGUUUUUUUUUUGGGUUCUAUAAUUGUUGUUUUCACUCUCACUUACAAUUCAAUGAACUAAAUUAGUAUUGCUACUUAUAAACUGUUAUUACCGGGCAUAUAAUUCUAUUGCUACAAUUUUACUGUUGUCUAGCUAUUUUUUUGAGUUUAUAGUUGUUGUUCUAUUGUCUUUUUGGGGUUUGCAACUGAUGUUUGCUGUUUUUCUAGGUUUUAUAGUUGAUGUAUUGGGAAAAAUAAAAAUAAAUUUGAUCUUGAAUUCUUUAACUUCUAUGAAACAAUUAAAUUCUUUUGCUGCUAUAUUUUUUUGUUGUUCUAUUAUGGCCGGGAUGUGUGUGAAAAGGCAAGAAUCUACCCAAAAAAAAAAAAAAAUGACAAGAGUCACAUGUGAGUUUAGAUGUAUUUUUAAGUAAAAAUUAAUUAAAAUAAAAUCUUGGCCCUUUAAAUAACUUAAUAUAAUGAAUUUAUUCUUAAUAACUUAAUAUUAUUUAAUCUAUAGAAGCAAGAUCCUCGAAGACAAAACCUAUAAAUAACUUAAUAUAAUGAAUUGAUUCUUAAUCUACUCCAAAUUGAGACUACAAUUUUUUACUUAAAAAUUGACUAGCUAGCUUUACCUUGAUGGGCCGACUAUCGCCCAUACAUAUUUCUUUAAAUUUAUUAAUAUUUUUGUGCAUAGCGAUUAGGGUUUCAUGACAACAAAUUCUCCUUUUAGUAUAUAAAAAGUAUACUAACAAGUAGUGUAGUGUUCCCCUCCAAAAGGGCAUAGCUCACUAACUUUUAGUCUCUUUCUUCGGUUGACGACUCCAGUUAGACUCUUCAAUGAGAUUAAAGAUUGAAUAUAUCUAAAAUAUUAGCAAUAUUUGUGCUUAUAUUUAACAAAACUAGAGUAAUAUAUUGAUUAAUCUACAUAAUUUUAGGCGGGUUCUUAGGUAAUGUUACAAUUACAUAGAUUAUUUUCACAGUAUAAGCCAAAUCUUAAGAAUUAAUUACUUGAAUAAAAGGAAUAAAGGAUGAUCGAUAAAAGUAAAACAAAGAAAAUAAAUUAUGCCGUUAAAUUGGGAUAUUUGGCUGCCUUAAUCGCUAGAGAUGCUUCUCCAAAACCCGCGUGUAAACAAAACACAUAUUUUUAACAUAACAAUAGCCCAAGCACAUAAACAAGAGUGAAAGCCGAGGAAUCAAUUUCAUUACUGUUCACUAGUAUUUUCAAUUUCAUUAUUUCAUUAACUAUGUCAUUGAUAAAAAAAAAAAAAAAAACUCAAUUUGAGAUGUUAUACAUUACUUUUCAUUACUUCCCAUUUCAAACAUAUUUAUCAUAUAUAGUCUUAGUAGCUUGUAACCCUUUCUGGUAAGGGUAAAAUAUUUCUUACCCCUUUGAUUUCUGAGAUUGUCCUCACAAUAAUGAUGCUGGCCCCAAUUUCUAAAACUACUAUCUCUAUGAGUAAAUUCCUUAUAAAUUUUCUUUUAAUUGAAAAUAUUUAAACAAUUGAAGAUAAAUUUAUUUAUUUUUUUAUUCGAAUGAAAAUUCAAUUAAACACUUAAAUAAGCUAUUCCUUUAACAAUUCUUUUCACACCCAUCAUGUUUCGUAAUUUAUAUUUAUAUUUAUAUUUUAAAAUUUAAUUGAAAAUACUUUUUGAGAAACUUUUAAGAAUUAAGAAUCAUGGAGAAAAAAAUUAUUUAAUAUGAAGAAAAUAGUUUAAAAUCUUAAGAUUUGUAUGUUUUAUAAAUAAAAACUUGAAAAAAUACUCUUUCCGAGAAAAGAUUUAAUCAGAAAAUGAUUAAUUUUUAAUUUAUGAAUUAAUAUUUUAUAAAUUAAACUAGGGGUAUUUUAAGGAAUAUAAUUAAAAAAGAGUGUCAUAAGGAUAUUUAGGGGUGUUAGAAGCCAUACUCAUUUACAUAAGCCAUGGGAGUUAGGGUAUUGGGUUUCUUUUUGUUUUGUAUGAAUUGGGAAAAAUACAGAGACAGACAAAGGGAACAGUCAUUACAAAGCUGUGAAGCGUGUGGGAGAUACCCAUUUGUAGCUUAAACUCCUAGGGUAUUGUUUCUGUCUUUCUCUUUCUCACUUUCUCAGGCAGCAGAUGUACAUAUCAUGAAAUAGCCAUACAUAGUUGGUUAGGCCUCCAGUCCAUUAACUUAAUAAUGAAUUUUAUGAAAAUUGAUUAUCUCAUUGGAAUUACAUGGAUAUUGGAAAGCAUUACUCCAGCCCCACCAUCCCAACAAUUUACUAAGUUCAUCAGUAAAAGCUGGAUUUUCCAUUUGUUCUUGAGAUUCAAAUUAAGGCAGCAGAUUGCUCAUCCCAUACUAUCCAUGUAAUCUUGUAAAAGUGAAGGGCGUUUAGAUGUGGAAAAACCUUACUCCUGCCGCAACGCCUCAAACAGAUUGUGAUCAGACAAGACUUAGGUCAUCAUUAGUAGUAGUUGGAACUUCCAUUUGUUCUUGAGAUUCAAAGGCAGCAAGCUGCUUCCUCAGUGCUACUAAUUCUUCCCUGGCAUUGCAUAUGUACGCUGAGGCUUGUCUACCAGACAAACUUGCUCCUUCCAUGAUAUCUAUGUAAUCCUGUGAGGGUGAAACCAUUUAGGACACAUAUCUCUUUUUUUCUAUUGAUCGUGACAUAUUUGGAAUGAAACAAUUAUAAACAGUGACCUGUUUUGUAUAUGAGCCAGCAAGGAACAAGUUCUUCACUUGUGUCUUUUGAUCAGGUCUGAAGGGGUCUUUACCAGGUCCCUCAUGGUACAAAGACUGCCCGAUUUUGACAACAGAUGACCAAAUAACUUCUAAACCUUGGGACAAUGGAAAUAGAGCUAAAACCUGAUAAAAGGAACCGUGAAUGGAUAAUAUGAACAGAUGUAUAUCAUCCAGAAAGUUGCAUGACCUUUUGCAGGGCUCAAAGUCACUAAAAAAUGUGAGAUAUACAUCUAGGAUAAGAAAAACGAAAAAGCGUAACCUAAUAUGUAUUAUAUGAAUUGAAGGUGUCACUGAACACUACCAACCUGCUUUGCCACUCUCCUAAUGAUUUCAUCAUUUGGUAAGGGCAUGUAAGGAUCGCCAGGCGUUAAAACGCAUCUGAAAGAUAAUUCAGUUAUAGUAAGCAACACAGAAUACAAAGACACUUGGCAAAAGGAAGUCAACCAGAUUCCAUGACACAAAAUGAAACUAAUAAUGGCGAAACUUCUCUGUAGUAGUCUUCUGGUGAAGUGAGUGCCAGAUCUGCAAAGCAAGAGAAAUCAGCAUGUGGAGUAUACAAAAGAUCAUCUAAUCCCAGAGCUUGCCUCAAUUGCCUACAUGUUCAAAACAAGGAUCCGUUAAAAAAUGGAAAUUUGUUCAAUGCAUUAGCAAAGGGAAGUGAAGUGAAAGCUGAUUUCUUAGGCCUUUAAAGAGCUUCUUUUGAUUGAAUUCCUGUAACCUCACAAAAGAUUAGAGCAUCACCUUGACCGUUCUAGGUCUUGCAACUCAGUAACCCAACCAUUGUAUCUAAGCUGCACUGUCACAACAGGCACUCCAACUAGCUCAUAAAUAUUGUUGAAAAACUUCAUUUCCCUCCACGAUGAUGGAAGUAAUCGUUUAAUUCCAGGGACAUCACAUGCUGCCAUUAAAUAGGAAGUUGAAUAAAGGUAAAACAUUCACCUAAAUGAUUCAGGAGAACAAAAAAGCACAAGUAGGAAUAAAUAAGGAGGAUUUAACCACAAACCUGUAACAUAUGCUUCAGCUUGCACAACCUUCUUGUCAGUGGCCUGAAACAGAACCAGAACCUCUAAGACCAUAAGCAUUAAAUAAUAAACGCAAAGUAGCUGCUUCUAACAGAUGAUAUAAACAACUGAUUUACAAAUGUCUGGUCAUUGCAUUACCUCCAUCAGAGGGAAUAUCAAUAGACGAGUAAAAAAAUAAAUAACUAAACUAGCUUUUGCCGCCUAAUUAGAACCAUGUGAGAAACAAUUACCUUAGACAUGGCAAGUCCUUUGACAUAUGUUUCUCCAUUAGCAGAUUUAUCAUAAAGUAUCUCUCUGCAUCCCCACCUAAGAUGGAACCUGUUCUAGCAAAAACAGACCCCAAGGUUAGGAAAAUCAGUAGGAGAAAACAAACAAGAUUAACAAAUCACUGCAAUGAUGUGAACCUGUAAAUAGAAAUUUACCUGCCCCCUUUAUCUGUGAUAUGUUUUUGUAUGGGCGCACUCAAAUAAACGUCUGGAGAACCCUUGAGCAUCCGCAAUAGGGCAUAAGCAACAGGAUCCCACAUUCUCUGAAUACUCGUCCGUGUCCCACCUUUGGACAAAAACCAAUCAGAGAAGCUUAUCUGUAAGAAGAAAUGAAGUUUUAGGUAAGAUAACAAUUUGUAGGAACAAGGAUUGAUAUUAAAACAAACUAGAAAAUAAGAUGUCAUUCUUACACUAUCCAAAUCUCCUACGUCCUUCAAGGCUCCAUCAGGAUCAACGAGUGCCCUUACAACAGGACUCAGAGCAAGAGCAAGAGCAUUUCUUGCUUUAUCGUAAGUCUGCACUUGAGCAAUACAUGAGGCAAAGUACAUCAAAAAAGAAUCCAAAAGAGGCAAGAAGCUUCAACAUGAAAGAAGAAAUACUGUCUUAUCAUACCGCUAACUAAUCAGAGUGCAAAAGAUUACAUCAACAUAAUCAAAAUGGAACAUAAAUCCAUAUGCACUACCUUAAGCUAAUUUGUAGACAAAAAUGCGCGAAUCCCAUGUAAGGGAGCUCCGACUGGAAACCGGAAAUCAUGUUCUGGAGUUAAAAAUCAAAAUCAUGAACUUAAUCAGAGUUAUUAUUGGACUAGACAAUCCACAAACCAAUUUCAGAGUGUCCAACCACCAAACAUAACUAUCAGUAGUCUUAAGUGAUCAAGAAAUAACCAUACCACCAAUUUCACCACCUUAUUCACAAAUGUAUGAGUAUGAUCCUUCAUGAGUAAAUUUUUUUGUGUCCGCACUGACCUGUAGACAUCCAUGAAAAACUAUCAGAUUAUAAACACAGGGUCAAUUUAAAGAGGAGCUAUGAUUCUGAUCCAUCAUGAUAUUUGAAGAACAUUUUCAUAUUUUCCUACAACGAGUAAACUAUAACCAGUUAUCAUCACUAUAGAUGGCAUGGUCAAGAGAAAUUAUAGUUCUUGUUUCAAGAAUCUCAAAUCAUAAUUCCUUUGCAUGGCUAGUGUGCUUUUAUAAUCAUUCAAACACACUUAUCCACAACUAAGCAAGCUUUACCUUUUUCAUCAAUCGGAACAGAUUAUUGUAGCAUCCAAAGAAAAUGUGCAGGCCCAUUUCAAUAUGGUUUCCAUGUUUAUCAAUAAAUGAACCCACUUUACCACCAAUGAAAGACCUUGACUCAUAUAUAUCCACCUGGAAGGGGGGGGGGGGGGGGGGAGGAAUCUUCUAAUUUCUUUCACCAUCAACAAAAUCAGUAAAACACAUACUAAUUCAAAAUGAAAUAAACUUUGUGAAUUGAAAUAAUGCCUGCUCUAAAGAAAAUGAUAACUGCUAUUCAUUUUUCCGAACUGCUGAUAAAAGCUUCUGCUAUUUACUUUGAAAAAAUUGAGUAACUUCAAAUUUUCAGUUUAGGCAAGAGGAUGAAUGGUAAAAGUGAGACAUUUUAGGGGAAAAGAAAAUACUUGAGAGGCCAAUGAAACAUUGAAAGAUUGAAAUCUAAAUGAGCAAAACCUCAUGGCCUUGAUCCAACAAUUCCCCUGCUGUUGACAUGCCUGCAAGCCCAGCUCCAAUAAUAGCCACUUUCAGCUUUGGUCCUCUAUAAUGUUCCGGUUCUGGUGGAAACAAACACUUGGGAGCUGCCAAGUAUACCAUUCAAUUAUCCACAGGGAUAUUGGAAAAACAUACAUGUUUGAAAGUACUAAACAUCAAAUGUCUCCCGAAAAAAAUACAAAGCACAAUUGCAUAAGCAUUUCAUUUCCCAAUAAAUUUCAAGAAUACAAAAUACUUGGUCUGUUCUUGAGUUCCUUUAAGAAAAUUUCCACUAGAGAGCACGCAAGCCACUCAAUAACACUCCAAAGUCAGAUUUUAAACGUUAUCUUGAUCUAUAAGUACAAUCCAUGAACCAUUCUGCCACAAAUUCAAUUAAAAAUUAUUCAAGUAAAAUGCCAAAUUCUCCAUCAAUAGCCUCAAAAAUUCAUAACUAGCAAACACUACAGAACAAAGAGCUCCCAGCAAUAAACACAUAAAAAUCCCACCAAGCAACAUAAAUCAAAAUACCCAGAAACCAGAAAACCCAAAAGAUCAAUACUUGGUAAACAAACAAAUCAAAUCAAAUAAAACAAAAAGAAGAGAAAUUUACCAUUAACACUCAUAUCAGAAACGUUAGUAUCCAAAGAAGCCCGUACACAGAAUCUUGGAACCUUCAGUUGAACCCGAGACCAACAAACACCAGUAACUGAAGUUGCAGGAAAAAGAAGUGAAGAACCCAUAUUGAAAUAAAAGAAUCCAAACCCAAAGUCCCACAUCUAAAUAUGAUGGAUCCACUCCAUGCGGCAAUAUGAAAUUUAAGCUCUCUUUUCUUAUGUCACCCAAGGCAUUGGCAGGAUGGCCAAACACCUGAGUUCAAGUCUACAAUAGAGAAUCGAAAUUUUCCUUUGUAAAUGUUCAUAAGUAUUUACCACAGAUUUUCAAGUUAUUCUUGAUAGAUCCCCUACUAUAUAUGCUAUAAUAUUUCUCUUCUUUUAAUUUAAAAGUAAAUCAUUCAUAAUAUCGGACUUGUAAAGAAAUAAAAUUUUCGGUAAUUAACUGACAAAACAAAAAAAGAUGGAUUAUGCGAAAGAAGUUAAUAUGGAGUAAGUCGAGCACUUGACAAUCAAAGUAAUUUACUCGAGGUUGACUAAGGAUAGUACGAUACUUUCUCAAGUUUUCUGAGGACAUUCACGUGACAUUGGACUAUUGACUAUACUUUCUCAAGUUAUAUGAUGAUAGAUUCAGAAUUCUUUUGAAGAAAAUAUUUUAUAUAAACUUAAUUAUAUGGUAUAAAAUGAUUGGCCUUAAUAAAAUUAAAAAAUCAUAAAAAUAAUACACGCCUGGGUCAUGCAAUAUUUUCAUGAAACAAUGUGCACAAAAUGCCUGUGAUAAUGAAACAAUGUGCCGUCCUUAAACUAAUAUUAUUAGAAACUAUAAUAAGUGAAAGUUUUCAGAAAACAUGUGAUAAGUUUUUCUCGGAAUUUGUUUUCUCCUUUGUUUUGAUUUACGCGAGAGAUAGUUGUAAAGAUUGUUUUGAGAAGUUUUCAGAAAACAUGUGACGAAUCGUAGUAAAAAAUUUAUAUAUAAUAAUUGAAUGAGAUCCAUGGUUCACAAUUGCAAAUUAAAGGUUGGUUUUAUAAUAAACAUCGUUUUGUGCAUACCAAAUUAGAAAAGAUUAUAAGUAAAUUAAGAUUUUCAAAAUUUGACUAGUAUUAUAUUACGUACAUCAAUAUAAUAUAAAUUUGUUAUAUAUAUAUUUUACUCUGUAACCAAUGCUUUCAAAAACUUUGUACUUGUAUUUUUGAACAACUUUUUUUGCUUUUUAUUUAUAUGGAAUAUCAUUUAUGUUUACAUAAAUUUUCAUAUGUACCUAAAUUAAGCAUUAAAUACACACACUUUGGUAAGACACAUUUCUAGUAUCAGACAAUGAUAUUAUAUUGAAUGUAAUGCUUCAAUGAAUUUUAUUACUAUAUACUAAAAUACUCAACGAUCUUCAUUAAAAAAAAAAAAGAAAUUGCAUGAUUAGAAUGAUUAAAGUUCAUUUAAUGACGAGUUUCAUCAUUGACUGUGUCGAAACACAACAGCAAUCCACAAUACACUCAACACGAGAGGCGCACACAAGCAUGCAUGAAUCUUCCACCAUUAAACCUGAAAUCAUAAAAUGAAAGAAACAAGAUGAGGGUUGUUUUACCGUCUAAAAGAGGAUUCGAAAUAAUAAUAAUAAUAAUAGACCUUUGUUAAUAGUUACUACUAGUGGUCACUGCCUUGUCCAUCUUCCUUCUCUGUAUCAUCGUCCUCUUCCAAGCCGCUGUCAUCUGACCAAAAACUCGCCUACUUCUUUUAGGAGCAGGAGCAGGAGGAGGAAAUUGAGUUAGGGAUUUGGAGUGAGAGUGAAAGUGGAGAAAAAACAAGAGAGGGAAAAAGCUAAUUGUUGAGAAAUAUAUACCUUUCGUAUGGUUGUGUUAAGGUCGUCCUUCCAAUCCCAACAUGCUUCACCCCGCCGCUGCACUUUGUGUAAUUUGGGUGUACUUAAUUUUCCUUCAGAGAAAAUCUUCAUAUUGGGGCAAUUAUCCACCACUAAUCUUUCCAAAAAUGGGAACUUGAAAGCACAAUUGCCAGAGCAGAAGCUUGUCAGGUUUUUUAAGUGUAAAAGCUUCAACUCCUUCAAUUCUCUGAAAGUAAUAACCUCCUCUUGUGCUACAACAUCAUCCACCAGUACUAUUUCUGUUAUCUCAUCGCAUGAUUCUAUCUCCAUAUAUCUAAGUCGCACCAGAGUCUUUGCAAUUGAGGGUGUUAAUACGAUUUUCAAGCCUUCGCAACACGAUACCACCAGAUUUGCAAGAUUCUGAAAGGAUGUCGAGGAUGGCACUAGAUUGACCAAACGGUCACACCCCAUUACACGUAGAAUAACCAAGUUGUUCGUAACAGAGGACUCCUCUAUCAAAAUGUGCUCCAGUUGAUAUUUUGCUUUUCUUAUUUCUACCCUCGUCCCAUUUUCAACAUUCUCUUUCGGCGACCGGUCACCAUAUCCUUGUAUUUGGAGGACUUUCAUUGUGUGAAGUCUCUGGAGGAAGUCAUCAAGUGAUACAAUAGUCGGCUCAUCAACCAACUCCACAAAAAGAUAUUUUAGUUUGCAAAGCAAGUCUUCAGAAAAUAGAUAUUUAUUUGUUCCUAUGUACUUUGCAUCAACUUUCAACUCUUCCAAAUUAGGGAAUACCUGGGAGAUCGAUCAGAAUAAAAAAAAAAAAAAAAAUACAAGAUGAAUCAGUUGAUGAGAAUUAUAAGUUACCACUAAUUUAUACCAUAUAUUUUAUUCAAUAAAUCUUAACCUUUAAAAAAAUAGUAAUAAUAAUACGCCUAACAUCUAGAAUAAUUAUGAAUGAAUACUAUACACUAAUCUGUAAGAGAGUUACGUUGCUGACAAUUUGACUUUUAGUAAGAAACCAAGCGAUAAAGGCAAAGGCAAUAUAAGUCUUAAGCUUUAUGAUAUAAACUUUCACAGAAUCACAGUACAUACAUAAGAAUUGAAAAAUUGAUUAUAAAAUUCUUGUACGUACCCUUUCCAUCAAGAUAUUAGUAGUUCUUUCGUAUCUCGCCAUGAAUUCAGGACAUCCAGAUAUCCGUAAUUUUUUUAAGGAUGGAAAUUCAAGAAUAUCAAGAUCUCCAGUGCAGAAGCUUGUGAACUUGAAAAGAUCAGACAUCUUCAGAUAUUGCAACUGAGGAAACAUUACAAUAUUUUUGUUCCUUUCUUCUUGGUUGUCCACGACUAUUAACUCUUUCAAGACAGGACAGUCGACUAUCUUAAUGUGUUGGAGUCGAACAAAGCUACUAACUGUAGAAGAUGAAAAUAGACAUCUUAAAUUCCAACACGCGUCCAGGGUCAAGUGCGUUAAAUUCUGAAUACCACAAGAUAUUACUGUAACUUGGUUUUGCCAAAUCCUCUCAACAUUUAUUAACUCCAACUCCAACUUCUCUAACUCUGGUAACCGAACCUGCUCGAUCAAAAAAUUAACUCGUUAAUUACAAGCAACAAUGAUUUCUGUUGAUGGACAAAUCAAUAAAAUUACUCUUUCUCUGGUUAUAGUUCUUUUCAGUUUUCCAUACAAACAACCGUUAAUCAAGUUUUCCAAAUUAUUCCUUACUAAAUGUAUAGAUUUAGACGGCGGCUAAUAUAAUUCAUAUUGCAAAUAUUCUUUGAUUGUAACGAAUUUUGUAAUAUUAAAUUUUGGUUGAUUCGCAAUAGGACCUACUAUCCAGCGUGAGCAGUUCUCGGGGGAUUUAACUACUGGCACCUCGAUUAUAUAAAAAUUUGAAAUAUUUUCAAAGGAAAUCAAAUAAUUCCCCCUUGCAAAUAGUAAUUAUCGUUAAUUGCCGCGGGUUGACAUAUAAUUCUAAGAAAUUAGGCGAGAAGAGUCUCAUCAACAAUCAAUCAGCAGAUAUCACGUUUGGAAGAUCAUCAUGAUUUCCUCAGAUGCUAGAGAAUCAACGUGAUUUCCGCUCAUGCAGGAGUGGACACAUUAUCUUAGAGCAUCCCUCACUGAGAUCUUUUAAAAUAAUUAUAUUAUAAAGUGAACAACAUAUUUAGUAUAGAUUUAGACGGCGGCUAAUAUAAUUUAUAUGUAUUCUAAUGACGUAUAUUAAAGAAAAUGACUAGCCAUAAUUUCAAUCAACUUAUUAGUCUAUAUAUAUAUAUAUAAUAUUUUCAGUGAUGACAACAUAUUUAGUAUUCCAUAACAUGAUGUUUAUAAUAAUAAUUAUUAUUAAUUCACUUAUUGUGUCAAGAACCUUUUCUUUCGCUAAGAAUGAAUUUGUUACACCCUACUAUACUACGGAUAAAAAAUUUAGAAUAAUUGUGAAAUAUAAUUAUUAAUCAAUCUUUGACACAAUUGCUACCAAACAGGAAUAUAACAAAGAAAAAAAAAACAAAAAUUAUAGAGAAUUAAUAAGACGAUUGACUUAUUAAUAACUGACCUUCUCAGGGAAAAGCGUAUUAUAAAUUUGGACAUUGUCCUCCAAAAUGAUUUCAUGUGACUGCAAAUCAUUAGCUGAUUCCUCUUGUCUCUGUUGACAUUGCAGGUGUCUUGAUUUUAGAGUGUAAACUUAAUUGUGAACACAAUCUUAAUGCAUAGAUACAAGAUCUUUAAAAAUUAGUAUAAUAAACUUAGCACUAAAUCCAAAUUGGGUAUUUCGGAUUCCAUGAUUAAGAUUUUUUAAAUAAAAAUUUAAUAGAGUUAAUUUAAAAAUAAAAAUUAAAUAUGAAAAAUAAACUUGCACUUAUGGAUUUAAUUUUGAUAAAUAAUGAAUGUUCUCUUUAUAUUUUUUUUCAAAGGUAAAAGAGCGUACAAAGCCCAAAUUCAUUUUUUUAGUCCCUUACUCUCCCAUGAUUCAAACUUGGGUGGUUGUAAGAGGACUGAAAAUAUAUACGACAGUUAACUUCACUUUUUUUUUUCUUUUUUUUUUUUGUUGAGAGAAAAGAGAAGGAGGAUAUUACAAAGCAUGAAGCUCAUGCAAUAAAAGGGCUAUUAUUUUUUUUUUAUAUAAUUAAAAUGGUAAGAUUCUGAAGCUAAAAGAUUAAAAUAUUAAUUAAAUUGCAAACAUUAAAGAUUUUUUUUUCCAAAAUUGGUUGCUUUGAAAAUGAGAAUAAUAUAAUAUUUGAAGACUUUUCAAAAUUAAUUACUGUGAUAGAUGCACUAUAAAUUUCUAGCUUUAGUCUAAUGUAUAAAUUGACAAAACGAUAUUAGAAUCCCAGGUGAAAAGAACCCUCUCACACCAAUUAUUUAAAUUAGGAAUGAUCAUACCUCUGACUCUGGCGAACUGAGGGAGAGGAUUGAACCCUCCAGACGGAGACGCUUGAGAUGGCAAGAGCCCACUUUGACUAAUUCAUUACGAAAAUAAUCGACAUCUUGCUCUUGCAAUUCACUUAACUCAAGGUCUUCAAUUCUCUGCAGUUGCACGAUCAGCGAAUCCUUCAAGCAAAUCUCGUUAUUUAGCCAGAGUCUGAAUUCACGACACCAAAUGUUGGUGCUCUCCCAAUAGCCAUGAUCUCCAAUGCGUAUGCCGUACCUUUCCAGCUUCUCCAAGAGCAGGCCUCUGGGCAGAGUGCUGACGUCAUAGACGUGUAAUUCCAAAGAGGUCAAGUUGGGCAAAUGCUUCAACUCCUCAAGGCUUGCAUUCUUAACCCCUUCUACCUCCACCUCCCAUUUAUCAAAGCUUUUAUCUAUAUAUAGUUCUUCUAAAUGGGAUAAUUUUGACAGUAUAUUUGGUGGAAUAACUAUUAGACACCAACAAUCCCUCAAAUCAAGCAGCUUUAGCCAAGUCAAUUCACCUACUUCUACCGGCAACUUCUUAAUUGUAGAACCUCUUAAGCAAAGGAUUUCUAGUUUCUUCAAGGCUCCCACAACACUUAUAUCAACCAAGCUGCAGUCACACAAACUCAGUGUUCGAAGGUUUGACAGGAGACCAAGUGAUGAAGGCAGUGACCGUAGAUUCAUGUCAGUCAAGUUGACAACUCUGACCUGUAUCAUCCUCUCGAAAAAGUUGUUUGGAAUUGUUUCCCACAAAUCAGCACGUAUAAAAAGAAGUUCGAGUUGAGGACAUUCCAGUACUUCAGGAAACAAAUUAGUCUCGAUAUCAUGUAAGACGAUUGAAGUGCAAUGCUUUAUUGCACUUCCGUCUAACCAUUCCCUGCAACCAUCAACCUGCUCAUUUGUAGCAGUAAACACAUUUCGUUCAGUAGAUGCAAUUGAUAUGGCGACAUCGCGAACUACAUCAUGCAUAGAAAACAACUCUUCAUUCUCGCUUUCAUGGUCAAGCAACAUACAAGAAGCUUUGAGUGUGCGCACCAAUGUAUGUACUCGAUUUCGUGCUUCUUCAAUCUUAUUCACACCUUGAAAUAAACCCAAUCCCAUACCACACAUUAACAAGUCAUCAAUAUAUGCUAUGGCUGUAUAUCCUAUUAGCAAAAAGAUGUUCUUGAGAUCAUCCCUUCCUAGUUUAUUGUAGCUCAACUCGAUAGCUUUAAAUGCGGCUGGCUGUACAUCCUUAAAAUUCGAUGAAGGCCUUCUUAGCUGUUCCAAUGCAUCCUUCCAUUCACGUAUGCUCUUGCUCCUUAAUGCCCUUGCAACCGUCACAAUGGAAACUGGUAGACCUGCACAUUCCUUUGCCACAUCCCUUGCUACCUCUUUCAAUUUAUUACCUUCAACAUAAUCACCUGCCAUCUUCGUGAAUAGACUCCAAGCUUCAUCUUCUUUUAAAAAUCCAACUGGGAAAUUUUUUCGAGACUCCAUCUCUCCAGACAAUACUUCUUCACUCCUUGCCGUGAACAGCACUUUACAUCCCAUGUGAUCAUCUCCGUGAGGAAUUCCGACAUCCAACAAAUCAAGAUUUCCCCAAAUAUUAUCCAAGAUUACAAGGAUCCUCUUCUCUUUCUUCAGUCGAUCAUAAAGUCUUCUUGCCCUACCCGAUUCACUCUCCUCAUCAAAUUUUAGACCUAGUUUAUCUGCGAUUUCUCCUUGAAUCUUUCUUACGUCUCGACUCUCAGACACCUCAGAAAAAACCACCUGAUCGAAAAGCUUGUCACACUCUGCUUUUCUAGCAACUUCUUUAGCUAGUGUCGUCUUUCCGAUUCCGCCCAUUCCAUAAAUCAAAAGCAUGUUGACAUUGGGAUUUUUUAAAGCAUCAAUUAUUUCAUUCAGAAUGGACGUUCUUGAUUCAAAGGCCUCGAAGUCUUUGUUAGGCAUAAGCAAGGUAUCCUCCGGAAUGAUGCUGUAGGAAAUACUAUUAACUGGUCUAGCGUCCAGGACUUUGACAACAGCCUCCUUCUGCCUCUCUGCUUCCUUGCUAAGUCGAGGGCGGGUCUUCAAAUUAGGACAUAACCCCUUGAAACAACGCUUAUUUGCAGUGGCUUCAUCUUCUGUAAAUUUAUCUGCCUCUUCAAUGACACUGUUAGCCGUUGCAAGCCAUUUCUCAACGUUCUCUUCAAUCUCUUCUCCUUUUCUUUUAGCCUCAUCAACCCGGUGCUCUAGAGUAACCCUCUCAGACUUCAGAUUGUCAACUUCAGUCUUGAGAUUCUGCAAGUUACUUGUGUACUUACUCUUGCGCAAAUAGCAAAUUCGGCGAUAUGCGGCAGGAGCCACGCACUUUACAACUUCUAAAACAAUAGUAAGAAUGAUUUCAGCCAUCUUCAGUCCUUUGUCCUUGUCUCUCUAUCUCUCUUUUUCUGAAUUUUGGAAAAACAAUUCAACAAGCGACCACAACAAGAUGGAACAAAUAAAAAGGAAAAAAAAUACAAAGAGUGGAUGGAGAAUAAAACAGAGACAGCGGCACAGCUGGACACAACUAGAUAGAGAACAGAGGAAAACCAAAUAACAAGACUUCAGAUUACAACAAACAGAGGCCAAGUAUUAUUGUUGAGAUCAGAAGAUGGAAAAUUCAAAAGAGUUGAUGGCAGAUGCUGAAUAACAGAACAACAAUGAACGCAAUAAACAGAAGCAAAGUGUGUUUGUGAUCGACAGACGGAAGUAAGGAGAGCGGUUGUUGAUUGAAAAUGAAUGAAUGCAAAGAAAGACUGAUGUUGAAAAUUGAUGUCAAUAGCGAAGGAAUAAUUGAACUUUCGCUGAAUUAUUGUUUGUGGCUUCUUUUACUUUUUAUUUGUGGGUCAUGUCUCUUGGAACUAAUCAUCUUAGGUUAUGCCUUAUAGCUUUAAGGCCGGUAAACCGGUGUCCGUUGGAUUAGCAUAUAGAAAUCCAACAGUGGAUAUAUGUACUUGCAGAAUAAAAUUCAAGAGCAAAGGGAGUGCCGGGCUGCAGUUUCUUAAGGAGAUUUAUAUAUCCUCCUCAAAAAUAAAUGUUUUAAGGUAGAUAUUUAGACUAUUUCAUCAUAAAAUAAAUGUAAUUAAUUUUCAAUAAAUAUCUUAUAUAAAUAUUUAUUUAUUUUUUUAAUUACUAAUGACCUUUGAAUAUACAUAUAUACAUAUUACUAAUUCAAAAAAUAAAUUGUGAUUAUUUGUUAAUGCAUGUGAUUACUUGUGAUGGUAAACAAAGUAGAUAUGGUAUAUUUUGAAGUUAAAUUAAAAAAAAAAAAACAGAGCUUUUACCAUUACUUGCCUUAUCAUCUUUUAAAUUAGAGUUAUUAUUCUUUUAUUUUUCAAGUUGCCAACUCAUCGCAUUCUCUUUUAUUGAAUUUGAAGGUUAAUGAUUAUAAAUUUGUGUAAAAAUUUGAAGUCAAAAUUUUAAAUUAAAAUAAUCUUUAAGUUAUUGAAAAAUAAUAACUUAGUAAAACAAAUAUUAUAUCCUAUACUUUAUUGCUACAAAAUUACGAAACCUUUUAGUUUCAAAAAAAAAAUUUAUGAAACCUUAUAUUAUAUUAUGUUUCCAUAUUUCUCCUUUAUAGUGAAGACUCAUACUUCUCUAAUAAAUGCUAAAGAAUUGGCUUAAUUUUUUUAACCAGCAUGGUAGACCCUUAAGCUAUAUAUACUAUAAUGUCCCUCUUCUCUCACAACAGAUUAAACCAAUCUGAUCUCAGAGUGAGUUGAUACCAUGACUUUGCAUCAUUCGUGAUCAAAGGAGCAUCAUUACUAACUAAUACAUGCUCGAUCAAUAGGCAUGAUAAUAAAUUUUUUAUCUACAAACACUAUUUUUCAAAAUAUUAUAUCUUUAGACUUAACUAAAUAUUUUUUAACUAUGUAGAUAUAGUUUGUUUGAUCUCUUUUAAAUAGUGGAGAUUACAAACAAACAGAUGCGAAUUAGUAGUGAUGUUGAGUUCAGAAGAUUGAAGUUAAGAAAAUUAAGGGUUUCUUGAUCUAGAGAAAUUUCAAAUGAGUGAAGCGUCCUCGAAAUCGGAAGACGAAAAUAAGGAAAGGGUAAGGGUGUAUUUUCGAUGUGAUUCUAUUAGGAGAUCUUUGAAGUAGGGGUGGGCAAAUCGGGUUUCGGUUUGGGUUGUUCAGAUUUCGGUUUCGGUUUCAACCAAUCGAGUUGGAGAAUUGAACCCAAUCAGGUUGAAAACGCCAACCCCAACUGAACCGAACUGAAUUUAGUUCAGGUUCAUAAUUCUGAUCGGACUGGGUUGGUAAUUCAGGUUAAAAUUUCGGUUCGGGUUAAUUCGGGUUAGAAUAAUUCAAUCUAAAAUUUUUGGUUAGUUCGGUUUAAAAUGGGUUGGAACAAUUUAAUCCAAAAAUUCUACCAACAACCACUUAAAAUCCAAAAAUCUCAAUUCCAAACAUCCUUAACAACAAAUAUCAACUACAAACCACCCUUAACAACAUUUCAACAAUAACAAUAACAAUAAUAACAACAAUAACAAUAACAAUAACAAUAAUAACAACAACAACAAUAAUAAUAAUAACAACAACUAUGAAUCAGCAAUUCAGCAUAUUGCCAUAUUCUAAAUUUAAAAAAAAAACACAAAUUAAUUAAUUAACAAUCUCCAAUUUAAUUUAUAAUAACAGUAAAAAUCCUCUCCAAUUUAAUUAAUAAUAGUCUCCAAUUGUUCAAUUACCAGUCAACAGCAACAAACCCUCUCCAAUUUGUCACGAACAGCCUCUAAUUGUUCAAUUAUUAGUCAACAACAAAAAAACUCACUCCAAAUAAUUGAACAAUUGUUAAUUAAUUAAUUAAAAAUAUUGAAUUUAAUUAAUAAAAACACCCAGGAGCAAGUUAGCAAUAUUCCCACUCCAAAAUCCAAAUAUCAGUAUAAACUAAAGGCAUAUUUGGUACAUUGUAUUAUAGAGUAUUAAAAUAAUGUUCACAUUAAAAUAAUAACAAACCUAUGUUUGGAACAAAAUUACAAAGUAUUAGGGUGGGAGGCUAAAAUGCGUGAGUUGACGCAUUAGCUUUGCUUUUUUUUUUUUUUUCAUUUUGCUUUUUUGACUUUUCUGUAUGCUUUAUUAUAUUAUAAUGCUAAAAUAAUAAAUAAAUAUAGUUUUUAAUUUAAUAUAAUAUUUUUAUUUUAUUUGUUUUUACAUUAUAAUUAUUAAUAUAAAUUAAUAAAUAAUUUAUCAUUCAAUAAUAGUAUUUUUUAUUUUUACAUUAUAAUUUAUUAAUAAAUUUAUAAUUUAUUAUAACUAAUAAAAAUAUUUAAAUUUGAAUAAUAUUAAUUUAAAAUUAAUAAUAAUAUAAAUAAUAACAUAAAAUAUUAAUGCAAUUUGAAUAUAUUAAAUCAAUAUAAAACAUUAAUAUAAUAUAAUAUUUAAUUUAAAUUAAUUAAAAAAUAUUACAGUACAAUAUAGCACCAAACAUUGUACAACAUUAUUAUAAUAUAGUGUUAAUACAAUACAGCAUAAUACAAUACACCAAUAUUAAAAUAAUGCAAUACAAUAUAAUAUAAUAUAGUGUGCCAAAUUCUAAAACUAUAUUUGAUUGAUGUAUUAAAGCUCUUCAUUACAUUAAAUUUAUACAGGCCCAUGUUUGAUAGAUAAAAGGCUACAACAACACUAUAUUGUUGGGCCAAGAUAAUGAGGCAACUGCUGCUACCUUUUUUUUUUUUUGUCCUUUAACAUUUUUCACUUUUCACGUGCUUUUGCCUUUUGCUUUGACUUUCCUUUGUUUUAACUUUUGUUUUUGUUUAUUAAUAAAAUAAUAAUAAAUAAAUAUAAUUUUUUUAAUUUAAUAAAAUAUUUUUUACAUUAUAAUUAUUAAUAAAUUUAUAAUUUAUUAUAACUAAUAAUAAAUAUUUAAAUAUGAAUAAAUUUCAAUAAAUAAUAUUUAAAAUUAAUAAUAGUAUAAAUAAUAAUAUAAAAUAUUAAUAAAAUUUAAAUAUAUUAAUAUAAUCUUUUAAUUUAAAUUAAUCACAAAAAAAAUUAAUACAGUAUAAUAUAAUAUCCAACAUUGUAUAGUAUUAUUAUAAUACAGUGUUAAUGCAAUACAUCAUAAUACAAUACACCAACAUUAAAAUAAUGUAAUACAACAUAAUACAAUACAAUAUGCCAAACGCACCCUAAGUGUCAAACCUUGAUCGGUGGGAAGCUACAGCGUCGGCAAAGCGUGACCGUGUGGGACUGAGUGAGACCGUCGAUCGAGGGUGUGAGAAGGGAGAAGAGGGAGCAAGGAGGUGUAACGUGGUGUGUGUGAGUUUAUAUAUAUAUAUAAUUUUUAAAAGCUAAAACUUAAAAAAAAAAAUUUAACCCAAUCCAAACGCCCACCUCAGAUUACUUCCGUGUUAAGAGCUGGAUCCCACACUCUUGAGCCUUUUUCGUCCCAGCAAUUAUAAAAAUAAGGGUCCGCCUAUGUUGCCACUGUUGUACCUAGGGAUGGCAAUUUUCGGGUCCGAGUCCGGGUUUGGCUGUUCCGGAUUCGGACCCAGACACAAAAUUCUCAUAACUGGACCCGCAUUAAACCCGGAUUUUUUUAAUCCGGGUCCGGUCCGGGUUCAACCCGAAAAAAUCCGGGUUUACGGAUUCCGGGUUUUGAACCCAGAUUGCUUUAUUAUUUUUUUUUUUUGAGAGAUCAUAUGGCUUAAUUUAACAGGGCACAAGGGAUGGUGGUUUAAUGUUUUAAUGUUUUCCCCAACAACACAUUACAUAAUUCUUCCUAGAAUUGGUUCAACAAAAUUUGAUGGAUAAAAGGCAAAAAAAGAACAUAUAACACAUCCAAAACCACCAGACUACUAGAACCAAAUUGUUUAACUUUGGUUCAUCAAAAUUUGCUGGACACAGGGCAAAAAAACAGAACAUAUAACACAUCCAGGUUCUAAAACAAAUACAACACAAAUACACAAUAUAAAAUCUAAAAUUCAAAGUUUUAAAGUAAUAAACAUCCACAAAUACAAAUCCAUAACAUAAUUCUACAACUUAAAACUCAAAUUUUCAGCCACUAGUGCUAAAGACUAAACUCUGAAUCAUCCAUUUCAUUAGACUGUUGCUCACUCAUCCAACUUUCAUUAAUCAAAUGCUCUGCAGAAAGUAUUGCUUCCUCUGGAAUUCCAUCUACAAAAAAUGUGUAAAUCAUAAACAUAAUGAACAAGACAACCAAUUAGUGAUAAAUUAUUAAUAAGAACAAUACAACAAAUAAUUUGAUUCUAAUAAAUAAAAUUUUCAUACCUUUUAAGUUUUGUUCAAGCCAAAACUAAUUUUGAGUGCACACCAAUGCCUCUACUGUGGAUGGGUGAAGUCUACUGCGAUGAGGGCUCAAAUGUCUACCUCCAGUGCUAAAAGCGGACUCCGAAGCAACUGUUGAUACAGGAAUGGCCAAAAAGUCCCUUGCAAUCUUUGCAAGUAUAGGAUAUUUGCCUUGAUUAUUCUUCCACCAUGAUAAAAUGUCAAAUUGACUAGUUGAAGGCAAAGUACUCUCCUCAAGAUAAAACUCUAAUUCUGAUUUGGAAUGAGUAUUUUGUGUGUUUUCAUUUCUAAAUAAUGCCCACUCAUCAGCCAUUUCAUCCAAAUCUAAAUCUAACAUAUUAGAGUCCCCUCCUGCAGCAGCUUGAGAAUUGGCACCAUUAACCCCCCACUUGAAUUUGAUAGAUGAUUUACUUCAUACUCAUGUACUAAAUCAACAAAUAGCUUACGCACUCUUUCAACUUCGGAUUCAGCUCUUUCCCCAUAUAUUUUAGGAAAUAAAAAGUUAAUCAGUAACAUUUUACGCCUAAGAUCUAACAUAGUCCCCACUGCAAGAACUCCAUGAAUAACAUCCCAAUACUUUUCAUACUUUGCAAUCAUCCUAGUAGCCAUAUUUUUUAUCCCCUCAAUUGGUGAUUGCAACCAUGCAUUCAUUGACAAUCUAAUUUCACAAAUCUUGGCAAAAAAUAAAUUAGAUGUCAGAUAUCGUGUCCCCGAAAAAAGUUCUGUCAACUUAUAAAAGCUUUUUAGAUACUCACACAUAAGCUUUGACAAAUUCCACUCUGACUCACUAGGUAAAGAUGUAUAAUUUCUCUCACGUUCCUUUAAACGAUCAAAUACAUCUUUAUACAGCAAUGCAGUACUAAGCAUCAAGUAAGUAGAGUUCCAUCUAGUUUUACAAUCAAGUACUAAGUUUUUGGUUUCCUUAAUACCUAAUUGUUUUUUUGCAUUCUCAAAAUUUUCAACUCUAGCUGGUGUUGCUGUCCAAUAAUGAACACUAUCUCUAAUUUUCUCAACUCCCUUUUGUAUCACUGAAAAACCAUCUCUAACUAUCAAGUUCAAUAUAUGAACACAACAACGCAUGUGAAAGAAUUUGCCACCCAUAAUCAUUGAACUAGUAGAAAAUUUCCCCAACAACAAGGCAAUCACAGAAUCAUUUGCAGCACAAUUAUCAGCAGUUACAGAGGACAAUUUUCUAUCUAUAUUCCAAUCUAUCAAACAAUCAUAUAACUCAUUACACAUUACCUCAGCACUAUGUGGAGCUGGCACAUAUAUAAACCUAACAAUGUGAAAAAAUAGUUAAAAUAUUAGACAGGACAUUAAUUUAUGCUUAAACCAAAAAAAAGGUUUCAAGAAUAUUACCUCAUAAUACGACUUCGCAACACCCAUGAGCUAUCAAUGUAAUGUGCCGUAAUAACCAUGUAUCCUUUUUUUUUUUGUUACUAGCAGUCCACAUAUCAGUAGUAAUUGCGAUUAUACUCUCACAAGCUUCCAAAAUACCCAUUGUCUUUUUCUUUUCAACAUCAUAAAUUCUCAAAAUUUCAGCUUUGAUGGUGUUUAUACUAAUAGUCUCAAUAGAAGGUUGGAGUAGCUUCAACAAGUCAUAAAACCCAACAUACUCAACAAAUGCCAAGGGGAGCUCAUGUAGUACAAUCAUUCUAGCUACAAAAAGCUUUACUGUAGUCAUAUCCCAUUUUGAUUCGGAACUAAAAUUACUAAGUGAAGUGCUUCCAUCAACUUUAGAAGAAAAAGAUAGGUGCAUUUGUUGUACAUUCUUAAAUGACCUUCUAGGACAGCGUUUAGCAUGGUUUAUUAAGUGAUUAGUACCCCUCGAAUAAUGUCCUUGCAUAACUAACCCACAGUAAUUGCAAAUUGCCUGAACUUCCUCACCCAACUUAACUUUUUUGAAAUGAUUCCAAGCAUCAGAGACUAUUCUACCACCACCAUCUCAUUUUUGUGAAGUGACAUGAUUAGUAUUACCCCUACGGCCACGGCCACUCCCCUGAACUGCUGCUGUUGAAUUUGGUUAUAAUUCAAUAGCUGUAUCAUUAUUAUUUUCUGAUUCUGUCCUAACUCUCACACAAACACUUUCAUCACUUUUUUCAGAGGCAUCCAAGUCGAUUCUUUGUUCAUUUUCCAUAUCAAUUUUUCACUUUACAAAAAUUAUGUCAAGAUAUAAUUAAUUCCAACAACUUCUUCCAAUUUAUAUGCUAUGUUUAACCGUAAAAGCUAUAAAUAAUAUUUUAGAGAUACCAUUUCUAUUCUUUAACAGCAACAAUAAAAAAUAAUUCAAAAAAUAAACUAUAAAUAAUAAAAUUGAAGCAUAACAAAGUAUAGAUUCUAAAAAUCACAGAGUUUAGCUAUUAAAGUCACAAAGUAUAGAUAUUAAAAUUACAAACAAAGCAAAACAACACAUAGAGCACAGAACACGGUCUAAUUAAAUUGUGAAGACAGUCACAGUGAGUAUCCUAACCGAAUUUCGUUAAUCUAUAUGAAGAGAACAGUUAAUGCCACAAGAUGACUUCUUCUAUCGCUGUUUGGGCCAGCCAAGAACCCACAACCAGUUAAAGCCUUAAGCUGUGCUAGACUGCUAGGUGGCUAAGCAAAAGAACUAGGAUAAAAUAAGGGUCUGCCUAGCGCAAGUCAGCGGUAGAAAUGUUAUUUAUGCAAAUUUCUUAAAUUUGACGUUAUAUCUCCUAAACAAUUCUUAGACCGGGAGUGAAGAUAUUUGCACAUAUUUGCAGAUAUCCUAAAAAUUUCUUACUGCAUUGGCAAAUUAUUCUAAAUUUCUAAUCGAGGAAAAAGAUCAGGAGUGUACAAUACUAACUGGAAAGAGUCAUUAAACUUCAAGCAACUCAAUAUACACAAGUAGUAAAAGCACAGGACAAGGUCGAACCCGAUUUCAGUGAGAGAAAGCAAAAGCAAGCCAAACAAAGUAUUAAUGCUAGUCAGGCUCAGAACUACCAUUCAUGCAGCUAGCCAUAGGCAGCAGCCCUUUGGCUAGUUAUACUUCAAAUUCAAUUCUAAGCUUACUCACUAACCAACUCUUAAUGCACAAAACCAACAAUACGCUUUAGCAGAAAAAAUGGAAACUGUUCUGUUUUAGACAAUAGUUUCUCCUUGUGCUAGAAAAACAAAGAACAAAAAAAGGCAAAUAAUUCAGAAAAACAAAAAGUUUAUAAUUAGCCAAGUGCUCUCAUAUGUCAUAUACAAAGAAAACCAUGUCUGAGGGAAAAUCAUGAAAUACUAGUUAUACAACCCAAGAGGGGGGUGAAUUAGAAUUCUAAAAAAUUAUUCAAUUUUUAAUUUAAAGCUCAAUGUAGAUAUGAAACAAAUUCAAAGCAAUAACAAAUAAGUUAACCACAAUAAAAAGGAUAAAGGAAGAGAGAUUCAAACACUGAGAUUUUUACGUGGUUCAGCCAACCUUGCCUACGUCCACGCCUCCAAGCUUUCCGAGCUUGAGGAUUCCACUAAGCAAGCCUCCAAGGUUUCAAAUGCUUACACUUGACUUCGAAGGUGUCAAUGACCUUUACAACAAGAGAUUAUCCCAAUCUCUUAACCCAAAUGUAUCCCAACACUUACAAUCACUCAAAGAUAAAAUAUUAUAAACUUGUUUUGCCUCUCACAAUAUUUAAGAUUACAAAAUAAUACCCAAUAUGUGAAUAGAUGAAGCAAGAAUGUAUUUAAAGCUUAAUGAAGAUUUUAUUCUCAAGUAUAAGCUCAGUAGUAGUGUUGUGAUCAAUCCUUGUUUAAGUUUGAAUGAGCUCAUUUAUAGCUGCAGCUGAAAACUAGCCGUUAUUGACUUCCUGCACACUGUCGGAUCGCCAUUAGCUAGAUGUCGGAUCGCCGUUUGACUGGUCAAUAUGACCGUUGAGCUGAUUUUUCAAAUUAUCGGAUCGCCGUUAUCUAGAUGUCGGAUCACCGUUUAGGUCUAGAGGCUAACCUUCAGUUCUGUUUGAUCUCAGCGAGCCGUUUAUUAAACUUGUCGGAUCACUGUUUAGGUCCAGAGACUAAUCUUUAUUUCUGUUUGAUAUCGGCGAGCCGUUUAUUAAACUUGUCGAAUCGCCGUUUUCCACAAAAACUGCUGCAGUGAACUAUUUUGCAAGACAACUGUUUUGUUUCUAAAUCUUUAUAAAAAUACUUUAUGAAUCAAUCUUAAUCAUGUUUGUUGAGCUUUUAAAAGAUUAAUCAAUCUUAAUCAUGUUUGUUAUCAUCAAAAUCAAUAGGGAAUUAUUUAUGUUAACAAUCUCCCCCUUUUUUAUGAUGACAAACUUUUCAAGAAAAUACUUGUGUAAUUUUGCUCCCCCUAAGUGAGAUUUUGAAAGACUUGUUAACUUCCCUUAAAUAAGUGUUCAUUUAAUUUUAAUCUCAAACAAAAUUUUAAACAAGACAGACAGAUUGAUUGGAUAAAUAAUUUAUGCCAAUACCAAUUACCAAUUACCAAUUAUCUCCCCUUUCAUCAUAAAAAAAAAAUAAGCUUGAGGAAUGACUUAUGUUUGGAAAAAUUUUGGCAGAAUCUCCCCUGAAAUAUGAGCAUAUCCUCAACAAUACAUAGAGUUAAAAAGAAAAACACUUCUAUAUAAAUAUGCCACCAUAUCAACCAACCUCCAUACCAACAAUUAAACACUUCCAUAAUUAGUAAGACAAACAAUAUAGUACCAAAACCAACUCAACCAGAAAUCAGGUGCACAUGUCCAAUAAAAAAUGUCAUAAAAACAUCAUAAGCAUAAGCAAAAGACAAAUGACAUCAUAAGCAGAAACAAAAGACAUGCAAUGAGAAAUGUCUGUGCGAAGAUCAGAGGAGCAUAAAAACUAAGAUGGGGGCUGUGAAGAGGAGCUGCCGGGGUCAUAACCAAAGUAGCCGAGAAUACGACGCUGGCCCGCAAGUAACUCCAUCUGCUGAUCUGAAAUUUGUUCCCGAAAGGUUGCAAAAUCCGAUUGAAGUUGCUGCUGCUGCUGGGACAGAGCAUCCACUCUGUCGAGAAGCUAUUGAAAGCGAUCCUCAGGAACAGCCGAUGCUGUAGGAGGGACGGCAGUCUUGGCAGGCUCGUCAUCCUGAGAUGAAGCUGCUGCUGGUGCAGUAGGUGCUACUGGUGCUGCUGCUCUGCGAGGGACACGCGGUCUAGCCCCAAGGCGAAAAUCAGGUAACUCAUCCUCGGAGUAGACGUCAUUUAACAUACGAUCAUCCUCUGGUGCAAGCAGUGUGUCUUCGUUCUUAGAGGAUAUGGUCUUUUCUAAUUUCCCACGCUUCUUAAAGAAUCCGAUUGAAGAAAUAAUUUCUCGUCCGAGCUUACGUGUCUCGAGAUAAACAGGCUCGACGAUAGGAACUCGAAAGUGUUUCAAGAUCCUAGUAAUGAUGCUACCAUAAGGAAGGGAUCGGUUGGAGACUUUAGGAGUGGACAACAUAUGACACAGGAUAGUGUAUGAUAAACUCACAUGCCGUCUACGGAUGAGGGAAUCUAAUAGACCAAUAUCAAGUCUAGUUACCUCAUCAGUGUGACCCUGUCUAGGAGUGACCAUGUGUUGGAGAAUGAUAUGAAGUAUUCGAACCUGAAAAAGGAGAAGUUGAGACCUAAAGAACAAAGAACAGAUGUCAUCGAAAAGAUCCCGACAACGACAAAUGUUCCGUACACCAUCCACAUGAUGGAAUUCACUAAAUGAGAUUUCUUUCCUAGCGGUGUACAGAUCUAACCCUCCAUAAGAGAUUCCUAGAAUACUACACAAUUCGGAUUCAUUAAAGGCAAUGCGAAUUCCUCCUACAGAUGUAUAAAGCUCGACACGACGAGUAGAAGAGAAUUCUAUGUUUGAAUAAAAGACACGGACUAGAUUUUCAUAAAUCGGUUCUUCGAUACUUAAUGCUUGCUUCUAAUGACUAAGCAUUUGAGUAAUGGAAUGACCACAAAUAGUAAUAUCCGAAAACUCUGAAAUGUUAAGAGAAAAAGAGGGAGUUACGGGUUUACCCAUGAAUUUUUCACGAAAUUGUUGAGCAGAGGUGUCAUCGGAAAAAUGGAGACUCUCGAAGUCUUGAGGGGGAGACCUGGGGGGACUAGAACGUCGCGGAGCAGUGUGCUUGGUUCGAGCACGCCUUUGUGGUCGUUCCGCCAUGGAUGAGUUGGGAGGAAAAUAGAUUGGUGGAAAUGAAGUUUGAGAGAUGAGACAGUGAUUGUGGGUGGAAAUGUAGUUGGAAAAGGAAGAAAUUUGGGUCAAAUUGAACAAAUGAGGUUCGGCUGGUUCUAAGGUUUCAAGAUGAGAUUUUUCAAAUUUUGAAGAAAAAGAAGGAUUUUAAUCGGUUAAAAAGUGGUAGAGAUGAUAAAGAUGGUUUGUAAUGCUGCAAUUUGGUGAAAAAUGACAAGAAAAAUGAUGGAUUUGAGAGGGGAGAACGGGUGCAGUCGCGGGUUGGAGUGAGAGAGAAAGAGAGAGAGAAAACGAAAUGAGGAGGAAGACGAAGGACUGUUCAAUUAAUGCGUCAUAACGGUGAGCCGUUAUAGAGAAAACGGCGAGCCGACAGAGUCCAGAGAGUUCUCUAAAAAUUUUCAUCAUACCGGCGAGCCGUUUAUAGACAUAACGGCAAGCCGAUAAGGUCCAGAGUGUCCCCUCAAAAUUUUGUAUCAGGACGGCGAACCGAUAGUUAGUUAUCGGCGAACCGAUAGCGUCCAGAAUACUUCCCAUUGUUUCUACCCCAAAACGGUUAGCCGUUUAUUGAAAUAACGGCAAUAUGUUUUCUAUAACUUAUGAUUUCGCACAUUUAUUUUGAUAUUUCGCUACUAUUAAUACAUUUCAAGAUCAUUUUAUUGAUCCAAAAUGAUUUAAGUGCCAGUUCAAUGCAUAAUUCGUGAACAUAUAUAUGUAUUGUAACAAUUAAUUCAUACAUUUUCAAAUAUACAUACACACCACAUGUAUAUUACGAUUGAGCAUUUCAUAGAUAGUAAAGUAUCAAGUCAUAAAUCAAUCAAUGAUAAUAGACUCAAUAGCAUGAAUAAAGAUGUUAAUGUGAAAAUUUCAUCAUCCCAAGUUCAUGUCGAAUUUUUGAAAAUUGUUCUUCGCAAAGAGGUUUUGUAAAAAUAUCGGCAAGUUGUUUUUCCGUAGAAAUAAACUCUAAUGCAAUAUCUCUCUUUUGAACAUGAUCUCUCAAGAAAUGAUGUCUUAUUUCUAUAUGCUUGGUUAGAGAGUGUUGAAUGUGAUUCUUUGAAAGAUUUAUAUCACUAGUAUUAUCACACUUAAUAUGAAUUUAUUCUAGGUUAAUACCAUAGUCUUUAAGUGUUUGUUUCAUCCAAAGAGCUUGUGCACAAUAGCUUCCUGCAGCUAUAUAUUCAGCCUCGGUAGUUGAGAGUGCAACAGAAUUUUGUUUCUUUCUAAACCAUGAAACAAGUGAGUGACCUAGGAUAUGGCAAGUUCCACUAGUGCUUUUUCUAUCAACUUUAUAACCAGCAAAGUCCGCAUCUAAAUAGCAUGUUAAAUCUAUAUGAGUUCCUCUAGGAUACCAAAAGCCAAUAUCUAUGGUUCCACUCAAAUAACGAAAUUUUUUUUUAACAGCAAGCAAAUGAGAUUCUUGGGACAUGAUUGAAAUCUUGCACACAAACAUACACUAAACAUGAUAUCGGGUCUACUUGUAGUCAAAUAAAGUAAAGAUCCGAUCAUACCUCGAUACAUUUUGAUAUCCACUUCUUUGUCCUUUUCAUCUUUGUCGAGCUUGGUUGUUGUACUCAUUGGUGUAUUUUUGGUCUUUGAGUCGUCAAUGCCGAAUCGUUUGAGUAGAUCUCUUACAUACUUGGCUUGAUUUAUGAAUAUUCCUUCCUCAUUUUGUUUUAUUUGCAGCCCAAUGAAGUACUUUAGCUCUCCCAUCAUACUCAUUUCAAAUUCAUUGCUCAUACGAGACGAAAACUCUUUGUACAACAAUUCAUUAGUAGAACAAAAAAUAAUAUCAUCAACAUAAAUUUGAACAACAAGUCUGUCUUUGUUCUUAUGUUUAACAAAGAGAGUGGUAUCCGCUUUACCCAUGGAAAAAUCAUUUUCUAACAGGAAAUUUUUAAGCCUAUCGUACCAUGCUCUAGGUGCUUGUUUUAAUCCAUACAAAGCUUUAAACAACUUAUACACAUGAUUUGGAAAUUUUUCAUUUUCAAAACCAGGGGGUUGUUUUACAUACACUUCUUCCAUAAUAUAACCAUUUAAGAAAGCACUUUUCACAUCCAUUUGAAAUCAAAUGAAAUCUUUAUGACAAGCAAAUGCCAACAACAUUCUAAUUGAUUCUAGUCUAGCUACGGGUGCAAAAGUUUCAUUAAAAUCAAUUCAUUCUUCUUGGUUGUAACCUUGAGCCACUAAUCUAGCUUUAUUUCUUACAACCACACCGGAUUCAUCCAUCUUAUUUCUAAAUACCAUUUAGUACCUAUGACAGAUUGAUGUUCCGGUUUAGGAACUAAUUCUCACACAUUAUUUCUUUCAAAUUGAUUUAACUCCUCUUGUAUUGCCAUAAUCCAAGAUUCAUCAUUUUCCGCAUCCGCAAAGGAUUUGGAUUCAAUUUGAGAGAUAAAUGCAUUAUGCUCACAAGUAUUCUUAAGAGAUGAUAUAGUUGUAACACCUCGUGAGAGAUCUCCUAAAAUUACAUCUUUAUGAUGAGAAGAGACAUACCUCCACUCCUUGGGGAGUGUUUGAGAAAUACCUUCUUGUUGUUCUAGCUCCGUAUUUGUUUGUUCUUCUUGUCUAUCCUCUUGAUUUUCUUGUGGUGCAUUCUCUUGAUUCUCUUUUGAUGAUUCUUUUUGUAACUCUCCAUCAGCAUCAUCAUUAGCAACUCCUUUCUCCGCAGAGGAGGGGUUAGAUUCAUCAAACGUAACAUGUAUGGAUUCUUCCACAACUAAAGUUCUUUUAUUAUAAAUUCUAUAAACUUUGCUUGAGUUUGAAUACCCGAGAAAGAUGCCAACAUCAGAUUUUGGAUCAAAUUUACUAAGAUUAUCUUUUGUGUUUAAAAUAAAACAUUUGCAUCCAAAAACUUUGAAAUAACCAAUGUUGGGUUUUCUAUCUUUCCAAAGCUCAUAGGGAGUUUUAUUGAGAUGAGGUCUAAUCAACACCUGAUUUAAAACAUAGCAAGCGGUGUUGACGGCUUCGGCUAAAAAAUAUUUAGGUAAUGCAUUUUCAUUUAACAUGGUCCUAUCCAUUUCUUGAAUAGACCGAUUCUUUCUCUCAACAACUUCAUUUUGUUGUGGAGUCCUAGGUGAUGAAAAUUGAUGCUCAAUGCCAAGAUUAUUGCAAAAAUUCUCAAAUGUAUAAUUUUCAAAUUCUCCUCCAUGAUCACUCCUAAUUCAUAUAAUACCAUACCCUUUUUUCAUUUUGUAAUUUCUUAUAAAGUACUUUAAAAGCAUCAAGAGCAUCAUCCUUAUUGGAUAAGAAUAGUACCCAUGUAUAUCUAGAAUAAUCAUCCACUAUCACAAAUGCAUAAUAUUUGCCAUUUAGACUAGCAUAUCUAGAUGGCCCAAAUAGAUCUAUGUGAAGGAGUUCAAGUGGUUUUGAAGUAGAAAUAUGGUUUUUAUUUUUGAAAGAAGUUUUGAUUUGUUUUCCAAAUUGACAAGCUUCACAAAUCUUAUCCUUUUGAAAAAUAAUUUUCGGAAGACCUUUAACUAAAUCAUUUUUCGAAAUUUUUGAAAUCAAAUCCAUACUUGCAUGUCCUAACCUUCUAUGCCAUAGCCAACUAUCAUCAUGUAAUGCGGAAAAACAUUUAUCAAUAGUAGAUGCACAUUCUAUGUCAACGAUAUAAACAUUACCACAUCUAUUACCAAUAAAAAAAAUUUUGCCAUCACAUGAGUUCUCAAUAACACAACUAAAUUUAUCAAAGAUAAUUUUAUAACCUUUGUCACAUAAUUGACUAAUGCUAAUUAAGUUGUGUUUCAAGUUCUCAACCAAACAUACAUUCUCAAUUAGAGUUGAAGAGACUUUACCAACAUUUCCAAUUCCAAGAAUUUUUCAUUUUGAGUUGUCUCCAAAUGAUACGUCUCCACCAUCUUCAAUUUUGGUGAAGCUUGAGAACCAUGCAUAGUUUCCGGUCAUGUGCCUUGAACAACCGCUGUCCAAAUACCAUUUAUUUUUCUUCUUCUUUAAGCCCUACAAAGAAAAUCUUAAGUUUUAGGUACCCAAAACUUUUUGGGUCCUUGAGAGUUAGCAACGGUUCCUUUUGGAACCCAAAUACAUUUGACACCAUAAUAUGCAUUCCUUUUCACGGGAUAUCUAUAUUUCAUGUGACCAUUUUGAUUACAAUAAUGACAGACAAUCUUAUGAUCACUUAUGGAGGUAGCUUUAACAAAAUAAUUCUUAUAAUACUUUUGCUUCAAGUUAGGCUUAUAUCCAAGUCCUCCUUUAUCAAAAACACAUUUUUGUGAGUUAAGCAUAUUAUCCAACAUCUUUUGCCCAUUUGUAAAUUUCAAAACAAUUUUAUUCAACUCAUUGCUCUUUUUCUUGAGCAUUUCGUUUUCAUUUUUCAAAUCAUCUAUGUGUGAUUCUAAAUGCUCAUGUAAGAUACUAGGUUUCUCAUUUGAUAAUACAAUUUCAUUAUGCAAUGUUUUGUUCUCUACUUCUAGGCAUGCAAUUUUUGCAUUUAAAGAUUCAUUUUCAUUUUUAACUUUUGCCAUUUCCUUUUUAAGACAUACAUUCUUUUUACCAAUCUUCAUCAACUCAUUAUGCAAUUCUUUAAAAGCAUCAUACAAUUCAUCAUAGGUGGGAUCACUUACCUCAUUGAGAUUAUCAUCCUCUCCUAUUGCCAUAAGCGCUAGGUUUGAUACUUCUUGCAAUCCUUCGUCAUCACUUGAAUCUUCCUCGCUGUCAUCAUACGUUGCAACCAUGGCUUUCUUCUUGAGUUUGUUGAUAAGUGGGCACUCCGAUCUUAUAUGGCCAGACUUCUUGCACUCAUAGCAUGUGAUCAUCUCUUUCUUCUCCCUUUGGUUCUUGAAGUUUCUGAAUUUUCUUCGCUCUCCAGUUUUCUUAAAAAACUUUCUGAAUCUCCUUGCUAGCAUGACUAACUCUUCAUCAUCCGGUUCACUACCUCCAUCACUCUCAUAUUUUGAAGUUUUGAGAGCAAUGCUUUUCUUCUUCUCCUCAUCACAUUUUUCUGCUGCCAAGUCUUCUUCAUAUGAAAUAAGAGAACCAAUUAAAUCAUCAAGAGGUAAAGUAUUUAAAUUUUUGGCCUCUUCAAUGGCAGUUCUUUUAGGUCUCCAUUCUUUUGGAAGUGACCUAAUGAUUUUCUUAACUUUCUCAUUAUUUUAGAAGGUCUUCCCUGAGGCACCUAGAGUGUUCACUAUGUCCGUGAAUCUAGUAUACAUAUAAUACACAUUUUCAUUUUGUUCCAUUUGGAACAACUCAUAUUGACGAGUGUAUCUACUAAUUUUAGACUCUUUAACUUGAUUUGUCCCUUCAUAAACAACUUCAAGUUUAUUCCAUAUUUCUUGUGCACUUUCACAACUAGAUACUCUAUGGAAUUCUUUCUUAUCAAGGGCACAAAAUAAAGCAUUCAAAGCCUUGGAGUUUAGAGACAUUUUUCUCUUUUCUAACUCACUCCAUUGACUUGAUGGUUUAUGAAUAUCAUCUCCUACUUCAUCUUUAAACAUAGGCAUGAAUGGACCAUCAUAAACAACUUCCUAAAAUUCAUAAUCUAAGGCUUGCAAAUAGAUUCUCAUCCUAGUUUUCCAAUAAGCAUAGUCAUUACCAUCAAAGAACGGUGGUCUAGUUGUAGAUUGCCCUUCUCUAAAGGUUGAGUCAUUUAGGGUUGCCAUGGAUCUUUUGCUCUAGACGAUUAAGUCCUAACAAGAGAACAAGGCUCUGAUACCAAAUGAAAUACUAGUUAUGCAACCCAAGAGGGGGGUGAAUUGGAAUUCUAAAAAAUUAUUCAAUUUUUAAUUUAAAGCUUAAUGUAGAUAUGAAACAAAUUCAAAGCAAUAACAAAUAAGUUAACCACAAUAAAAAGGAUAAAGGAAGAGAGAUUCAAACACUGAGAUUUUUACGCGGUUCGGCCAACCUUGCCUACGUCCACGCCUCCAAGCUUUCCGAGCUUGAGGAUUCCACUAAGCAAGCCUCCAAGGCUUCAAAUGCUUACACUUGACUUCGAAGGUGUCAAUGACCUUUACAACAAGAGAUUAUCCCAAUCUCUUAACCCAAGUGUAUCCCAACACUUACAAUCACUCAAAGAUAAAAGAUUAAAAACUUGUUUUGCCUCUCACAAUAUUUAAGAUGACAAAAUAAUACCCAAUAUGUGAAUAGAUGAAGUAAGAAUGUAUUUAAAGCUUAAUGAAGAUUGUAUUAUCAAGUAUAAGCUCAGUAGUCGUGUUGUGAUUAAUCCUUGUUUAAGUUUGAAUGAGCUCAUUUAUAGCUGCAGCUGAAAACUAGCCAUUAUUGACUUUCUGCACACUGUCGGAUCGCCGUUAGCUAGAUGUCAGAUCGUCGUUUGACUGGUUAAUAUGACCGUUGGGCUAAUUUUUCAAAUUGUCGGAUUACCGUUAUCUAGAUGUCGGAUCACCGUUUAGGUCCAGAGGCUAACCUUCAGUUCUGUUUGAUCUCGGCGAGCCGUUUAUUAAACUUGUCGGAUCACCGUUUAGGUCCAGAGGCUAACCUUUAAUUCUGAUUGAUCUCGGCGAGCCGUUUAUCAAAAUUUUUGGUUCGCCGUUUAGGUCCAGAGACUAAUCUUUAUUUCUGUUUGGUAUCGGUGAGCCGUUUAUUAAACUUGUCGGAUCGCCGUUUUCCACAAAAACUGCUGCAUUGAACUAUUUUGCAAGACAAUUGUUUUGUAUGUAAAUCUUUAUAAAAAUACUUUAUGAAACUUGUCAAAAUAGAUGAAAAUUAUGUUGAGCUUUUAAAAGAUUAAUCAAUCUUAAUCAUGUUUGUUAUCAUCAAAAUCAAUAAGGAAUUAUUUAUGUUAACAAAUCACAUUGUGCCAGAAGCAAUACAAGCUCAAAGCAUAACAGCACGAAAAUUGCAAAGAGGGAAAAUCAAAGUGUAAUAGAGCAUAAAUUGUAAAGAGAAAAGCCGAGACUCACAAAUAUUCACAGUGGCAGCUGAAGUAUAUGCUGAUGAACACAGAACACAGCCGCGACGGAGUGAGAGAUCAGACGAGUGAUGCUGAUGAGUGAUGAAACGAACAAAGCCUCACCGUGAAGGUGAUGACAAGCCACGCCGCAAAGGAUCUGAUCUGAUCUGAAGAAGAGAUUACAUGAGAGUUGCAGAGAGAGUGAGAGAGAUUAAGUGACGAUGGAGGACUGAGGAAUGAGUCACGGCUCACGGGUGAGAGAGAUUGAGAGAGGAACAAAUUACGGAUGAGACUUGAGAGAUUGAGAGGAGAAAUUACAGAUUUACAGUAAUUGUUUUUAAGUUAAAAGAGAAAUUUCGAGAGAGGAUCAGAGGAACGAGAGAGAUCUAUGGUUCACUUUUGUUUUUUUUUUAAUUUUUCUAUUUAUAUUUACGGAUUUACGGAUCAAAAUUAAUAUUAAAAUAAAUAAUAUUCGAGUCUGGGUUCCGAAUUUGGGGGUUCACCUGAAGCUAGAUCCGGACCCGAAAAAUGCGGGUUGUCAAAAACUGAUCCGGAUUCGGAUAAAAACUAUUUCGGUGCGGGUCGAACCUGGACCAGAAUUUUUGGAUUCAAUCCGAGUCCGAUCCGGGUUCGGGUUUGGUUGCCAUCCCUAGUUGUACCUUACCACAACCCUUGUCUUUUAUCAAAUAGUUAAUGUAAAAUUUCAUUGAACCCUUUAUACUUUAUUUUAUUUAUAAUUAUUUUGUAAGUAUUGAAAAGAAAAAAUUAUCCUCAAAUUUUAUCUUCAAUAUAUUUUUUUCCCGUUUCUUCUUCUGCUCUCUCACUUUCUCUCUGUAAUGGGUUUAAUGAUGGCUUCAAUAUUGGUCAAGAUUGCUGACCGAUUUGUGGAUAAUUAGUUGUAGGUCAUUGAUUGUUUGUGUGAUGGUUCUCGUGGUGGAAAAUAUAGGCAUCAAAACAAAAUCCUCAAUUUGAUCUGAGAAGCCGAAGUGAGAGUGAGAGAAAGCGAAAUGGCGAUGGCAAGGUGAGCUCAAGCCUUGCUUAUCCAGAGUGAUUAUGUGUUGCAGCUUCAAAUUGUGGCUUCGAUGGAUCUCCGAUUUCCUCUGUCUGUCAUGGUGGGGUUGUGGUGCAGCUGACGUGAUGUUGUUUCGAGAGAGGAAAGAUAAGGCUGACAUGGGUCAAAGUUGUCGGUCGUGGUGCGACUGUGCUAUCUUGCCGACGUGGAGCAGUGUGGUGGCAACCGGUAACAGGUAGCUUCACAAUAUGGGUAUUUGGGUUGAGAGCAGACUGGAGAGAUGAAGCCAUAAUGGUUUCUUUUGAAUUUGAUUUUGGAUUGAUUUUGUUUGGAUGUCACGUGUGUGGGUAUUUGGGUUAUUUUCAUUUAGUGUUGGUUUUUUUUUAAUUAUAAGUUAUGAAUAGAUCGAUUUUGUAAUUAACCACUAGAAUCCCUACUCGUAUUGUUGAAAAUUUUGUUGAUGAUGAGUUUUUUUUUUUAAACCAACAAAUACUUCAAUUCCAUUCAAGAUGGAAACUCUACUCAGUAUCAGUAACUGGGCACAAAAUGGAAAAUCUCAAAAAAAAGGGAUAAGAUUUUAAUAUUCCACAAGCUAAAACAAAGGUACCAAAAUCAGUUGCAUAUCUUCUUUCAAAUCAUUAAUGACCCAAUUCCCAGGUAAUUCAGAGGUAGAAUAUCUACUUGCUGCGCUUGGCUGCACGCUUCCCUUGGCCUUUCUCGGGAGGUCCCUUUCCACAACGUUUCAACAUUUCAAGCUUGGGUAAGCGCUCUUGUUCUUGGCGGGCCAUGACGAGAACUUACCAUCAAUGAGCUUCUUCCACAAAAUCUUGUUGGGUGAUCUCUGGCCAGUGGGAUUAAGUACAUACCCAAAUAUCUUAGCCCUCACCUCAGUUAGCCUUGUGGUCACUAUUGUGGCCAAAAUGUUCUUAAGCCUCUCUCAUGUAGCCAUCAUCACUCGCAACUCUACCUGAUUAGCUCUGUUGAUAAUGAGUUAACUUUGUCAAUGAUCAGUGAUGAGAGAUGAGUUAAUCUUAAUUUCUACAAAAUUUUUUAAUGCUAAUCUAAGGAUAUUUUUGUCUUUUCAUUAAUAUUAAUGUGUUAUGAUUAUUAAUGUAGCGUGGUUGAAAAUAAAAACUCAUUUAAUACUUAUAAAUAAAUAAAUAAAUAAAGUGUAAGGUGAUAAAUUAAAUUUUGAUAAUGUAGGUAAGUAUAAAGUAUUAUAAUAUUUUAUGAUAAAUUAUAAAUAAAAUAGAGUGUAAGGGAUUCAAUGAAAUUUUACAUUAAUUAAUUCACAAAAGACAAAGACUGUGGUAAGGUACAACCGUGGCAACAUAGGCAGACCCUAAAAACAAAUCAUUAUUUUUUUUUUUGAAAGGAAACUUCCAUUAAAUCGAAGAGGAAAAUAGAUACAUCAAUUGUGAAGGGUAAGAACCCAUCCAAACAACAUUUUCACAUUUCUCUAAUGCUAACUUAGCUAGAAAGUGGGCAAUGACAUUACGAGAUCUAUGAGUAUAAUUAAUGCUAACUAGCUCAAAGUUCCUCAUUAAGUUUUGAAUCUCCGAAAUUAUCCAAAAGAUCUCAGACUUGCCGCCUUGCUUGUUGUUAACUAACUUGACUACGCUUUGAGCGUCUGAUUCAACAAUUAAAGCCUUUGCACUUGCAUUCCUAGCAAUCUGUAAUCCCCAUUCCAAGGCUUCUGCUUCAGCAAAGGAAACAUCUCCAUAAAAUUUCGAAAUCUUGAUUGCAGCUGCUAUGACAUUCCCCCGAUCAUCUCGGAUUAUAGCUCCCAGCCCUGCAAGAUGCUUUUCUGAGCUUGUAGCAGCAUCCACAUUGACUUUAACAGAUCCACUUUGGGGGGGAUUCCAAAUCUGCUGAGUCUGCACCUGCUGACUUUCCUUUCGAGCUUGCUCUGGUUUUUGAACUCUUUUGUAAGCCUCCAUUACUGCUUCAGCUUUAGCAACCAGAGUCUAGGGGUUCUCUCUUUUUCCUUUAAAAAGCAUCUCAUUUCUUGCAUUCCACACCAUCCAACAAAUCAUAACCAUUAGUUCUAAAUCAGCUUUGUUUCUUCUGCUGUACAUUUCAUGCAGCAAACUCAAAAAAUCCUGCCCAGCAGUUUGCAUGAUGUCAUUCUCUAAUAGAGUGAGUCUCCAUAUUUUCCUUGCAGCUUUACACUCUACCAAUGCAUGAAACACAUUCUCCACUCCGAGCUUGCAUACUUGGCAGGUAGGCUCUUGGAUAACUUUUCUCUUCCAUAAAUUUUCAGCAGAUGAGAGAAUAUUCUUGGCUGCCCUCCAAGCAAAAAUUCUGAUUUUCUCAGGUAAAGCAAGAGUCCAUAUGAUAUUCCAUUGAUUUUUUCCUGACAUUGAACUUGAAGGCAUGGCUGGAAGUUUAAGACUAAGGGCUGUUUGAUUGCCACUCUUGACCGAGUAGAGACCUUUCUUGUCAUAAUGACAGGUGAUUGUAUCUUCUUUUGGGCUUCAAGGCAAAGGGAUUUCAAUAAUUUUAUCAGCAUCCAUUCUAUUGAAAUGCCUGUAUAUCAGGCUCUCAUUCCACUGGUUUUCUUCAUUUAUCAGCUCAGCAACCAAUGUAUCUUCUGGCAAAGAUGGCCUAACUAUUGGCUUGAAGGUUGACAGCUUCAGGAUCCAGUUAUCUUUGUGAAUUUGGAUUUUUUGGCCAUCUCCAAUUCUCCACCUUGCACCAGAACUGAGAUUCUGUCUUCCUCAUAGGAUGCUUCUCCAUACAAAUGAUAGUGUGGACCCGAGCUUAGCCUUCAUGAAGUCUUUAUUUUGGAAAUACCUAGCUUGUAGAACCUUUGCCACUAAUGAAUCCGAGAAUUGUAAUAUCAUCCACCCUUGCUUAGCCACUAGAGCUUGGUUGAAACUUGAAAAGUCUCGGAAACCCAUGCCUCUUUUACAUUUGGCCUGACUCAGCUUCUCCCACUUCGACCAGUGGAUGCUUCUUUUGUCGCUCUUUGAUCCCCACUAAAAGUCAGCCACAGUUUUUUGGAUAUCAUUGCAAACACUCAUUGGGAUCUUGAAUACACUCAUGGCAUAGGCUGGAAUGGCUUGCGCUGCAGCUUUGAUUAAAACGUCUUUGCCCCCACAUGAGAAGAAUUUGUGCUGCCAGCUGGAGAUUUUGUUAAAGACUUUCAGUUUGAUGUCAUUAAAGAAGUUGCUCAUUUUUCUUCCUAUCAUAGCUGGUAAGUCUAGAUACUUCUCGUGCCUUGAGCCAAUAUUAAGCUGAAAAAUCUGUCCAAUUACAGUGGCUCGAUCAUGCUGGACAUUGCCACUCAGGAACAGAGAUGAUUUCUCAAAAUUAAAAAUUUGCCCGAAAGCUGCUGAGUAGCAAUCAAGUAUCUUUUUCAGGUUCCCACAAUCGGCCAUUGAAGCUCGGCUAAAUAUAAGGCUAUCAUCAACGAACAAGAGGUGGGAAAUGUUCAACUCCUUUCUAAAAGACAGCCCAUGGAUGAGUUUCUGUUGUUCGGCCUGCAGCAACAAAGAGGAAAAGACCUCUGCACAAGUAAUAAACAAGUAAGGGGACAGGGGGCACCCUUGCCGUAAACCUCUCUGGGGCUUUAUUAAUCCUCUGACCGAGCCAUUUAUAAUCAAAGAGAAAGAAACAUAGCUUAUACACUUCAUGACCAAGCAAAUCCAGUUUUGAGAAAACCUCAUACAUUUCAUAGUUUGCUCAAUAAAACUCCAUUCCAAUCUGUCGUAAGCCUUACUAACAUCAAGUUUCAAUGCCACUAACCCAUUUUUUCUCCCUUUGCAGUGCCUUAUUUUAUGUAAACAUUCAUAUCCUACAAUAACAUUGUCGGUUAUCAAUCUAUCAGGUAUAAAAGCACUUUGAAUUGGAGAGAUGAUUUGGUGCAGAAUUUGUUUGAAUCUGUUGGCAACUGACUUAGCCAUUAUCCUAUAGAUAACAUUGCAAAGGCUGAUAAGCCUAAAGUCUGUAACUUUUCUAGGUUUCCCCUUCUUAGGAAUCAUGGCUAUGUAAUUAUAAUUAAGGGGGGCUAGAGUACCUUGAUUGUUUAAGAUGUGAAGACAGGUAGUAAGAACUCCCUCUUUGACCUCAUUCCAGUGCUUUUGGUAAAAAGCUGUUGGUAGCCCAUCGGGCCCCGGUGCCUUGGUUGGGCACAUUUGAUUUAAGGCUUCAGUCACUUCCUCCGCUUUAAAAGGUUUCUCUAACGACUCAUUCAUGUCCUCGGAUACUCUCGGGGUGAUACCUUUUAGCGCUGCUUUCAUCUGGUUUUGACUUGGCUUGGUUGUUGUAAAUAGCUUUGUGAAAUAGUUGCAGAAUUCAGCCUCCACAUCUCUGGCUUUCUUUAACCAAUCCCCUGAGCUAUUUUCAAUCCCCCAAAUUCUGUUCUUUUUCUUUCUAUUCGACACUUUAUGAUGGAAGAACUUUGUGUUCUUGUCCCCUUCCUUGAGCCAAUCUGCUCUUGAGCGUUGCUUCUAGUAAAUCUCCUCAUCAAUGAUGAUAUUUAUAAUCUGAUUUUCCACCAUUUUAAUCUUUUCUCCAGAUUCGUACUGCACCCCUCUCUGCUUCCAUCCUUGAAGCUGCUUUUGUAACUGCUCUAGCUGUUUUUCCCUUCCUUUGAAUUCCCUCUUGCUCUAGUUUAGAAGUCUAGCCAUUGAUUCUUUAGCAAUCUUUCGAAACAAAUAAACUGGAUUGCCACUCUGCCAAUUGCUAUUCAAGCUCCAUUCCUCGUUAACUAUCUCCUUACAAGCCUCAUACGGACUCCACAUAUCCUCAUAAUGAAUUCGUGAGGAUUGUCUCCUACUCGCAGCCAUUUCCUCUCCCCUCUCUUGAACCAUCAUCAGCACUGGACAAUGGUCUGAGGUCCAUGUGUUCAGGUUGAUUACUGCAUCAUUGACAAAAAUAUCACACCAGGCUCUGUUGCAAACAAAACGGUCCAACCUUUCCUCUAUAAAUCUCUGUCCAAACCUCCCAUUACUCCAAGUAAAAGGGUAACCCUUAUACCCUACAUAUGCUAAUUCACAAUCUCUCAAAGCCUGCCUGAAGCUAUUAAUUAAGUUGACAUUUCUCUCAUUGCCUCCGCUCUUCUCAUGAGGAUGCAGAAUUUCAUUGAAGUCUUCGAAACAUAACCAAGGACUAGGAGACAAACCUACCAACCUUCUCAAAAGUGACCAUGUAUGUUGUUUCUGCCCCAUUUCCGGAUGCCCGUACACCCCUGUGCAUCACAUUUGCCUCCCAUUGGCCAUCUGAACUUCAGCAUCUAUGUGAUGCUUGCUGAACGAUUUAAUUUGUACACAAGUUUCUUCAUUCAAAGCAAAGAUAAACCCCCUCCCCUUCCACUACAGCUCACGGCAAAACAAUUAUCAAAUUUUAACUUUUUUCCAGUCACAUUCAUUUGCGUGGUUGACAGCUUGGUUUCACACAAAAAUACCAGUUGAUGACCAUGCAUAUGGAGGAUUUGUUUAAGUACUAGAAACGCUCGGGGAUUCCCCAAACCCCAAACGUUCCAUGAGAUGAUCUUCAUGGCUUUCGGCGGGGCUGGCUUCCAGCCUCCGCCGAUAUCUCUGCUAUGGUUGAAUCCAUGUCCACCAUAUUUUCCAACAUCAAUGGUUCCCAGCUCAAUUUAACUUUUGCCGCUGGAGAAUGGUGCCCCUGCUUCUUUGUUUCUGAUUUAAUUGGACUAGAGAGCUUUGCUUUCUUUUUCGGGCUUUGUCCCAUUGCCUCUCUACUUGUUCGUUUAUGAGCUCCCAGCCCCAUUUUGGAUUCUCUUCCAUUUGGCUCUCUAGCUCGUCUCUUCCAUUUUCUUUUUGUGGGCCUUGCUUGAGUAAUUUCCGGCCCAUUAUCUAUUUUAGCUUCCUCCAUUUCUUUCAAAUUUGUCUUGAACUUUUCCCUCUCUUUCUCCAUCCCAUCUCCUGCCAAUAUUCCCCCUUCUCUAGGAAUUAUUUCAUUGCUGAUAUUCCCACCUUGCUUUUUGCCGCCCAUUUGCUUUUCUUUCAUCGAUUCUACCACUCCUUUCAUUAAAUUCUGCUCACCUACUCCUUCCACCUCAUCAAUCUUGGUAGUCUCCAUGGUUUGACCCGUUUUUUCGCUUAUGGGUUCUGACCCACUUGUUCUAAUCGGGUUGUCCUGGCUUUGUUGUUGUUGUUGCCGGUGGAUUCUGUUAUGCUCUGAACUUUCUUAUUUUUCUUUUGAUCUACUCCCUUCAUAAUUCCAUCUCUCAUUGUUGCGAUUCUUCCUUGAACGACCUCCUACGAUAAUUGCUUUCAUCCACCCACCGUAUGGUAGUUGCUCUUUUUGCUGUCCCUGAAAUUUGGCACACUCUUUGUAUUGAUGCCCAAUGAUGCCACAACAAUAACAGAAAUCUAGUAGUCGCUCAUAGACCACUAGCAUUGGAAUGUCUGAUUCACCUUCUUGUUUAAGGAAGAGUAUUUUCUUCAACGGCAGUGUUAUAUUGAUUAAUACCCUUAUUCUCGCAAAUUCGCCAAGGCAUUCUCCAUUUUCAUCUGUCUCAAUCUCCUCCACUGCCCUAAUCAUUCCUCCCAAUUCUUGGAGCAAUUCUUUCUCCAUGCAUACAAUCGGGACGUUGCGAAUCUGUAUCCAAAAGGUUGUGUGGAUAAAGUAUUGCUUUGUCAGCUCCCCUAUUCCUUUUGGUUCAGUAAGAACAAUUAAUGCUCUAUCAAAAUGCCAAGGACCUCCUGUUAAUACUCUUUUUUUAUCCGCUUCUUCUGUAAAUUUAAACAUAAAGCAAUUGUUCCCUAAGCUUUCAAUUUUAACCUCUUUUACAGUUCGCCACACUUGCUGCAAUGCACUCUUAAAUCCCUCCUUGUUGACUGCUCUUGUGAGGAGGACUUUGCCCACUAAGCAUCUUGCCAACAUUUUCCCCCUUGUGGCUUUCAUGUUCACCUCUAGUGACAUAUUGGUUUUGUCUUCCUCUCUUAUAGUUAUUGCGUUGCAUUUACGGAUUAGCUCGUCUGUAUCCAUGGCACCACAGGCUACAUGAUAUGGAUACAAUAGUGCCCCAUGUAUGACCCCUUGCCUUCUCUGCUCUCCCCAACUCUGAUUAGUAUAAUACUCAAACAAUCACCGAGAAUAAGGAAACGCUAAAGCUAAAAGAAAAACUUAACCCUGAAAGCACUCACUUCGGAGUGACCAUUGAGUCAUUAAGACCCUUUAAAGCUUCCAUUCCAGCUUCUCUGUCAUAGAGAGAGCGUUUGAAAGAAUAUUGUGCAAUUUAGUAACAAAAACAAAUCAUUAUUGAGUGUGAACAGACUUAUUGAUCACCCAAUUUUCAAACUUGUCAUCCUUAUUGAAUAUGCAUUCCCUUUUAAAAAAUUUUAAAAAAGGUACAAAUAAUGAAACAAAGUUUUGUUCCUUCAACAGUUGAUAGAGUUACGCAGCUUCAACUUGCAAGUGCUGUCGGCAUUUUCAAACUUGUAAGACCCUUCAACUUGCUUUCCUAGAUAGCUAUAAUUAAUAAUGACAACAGUCUCCCUUAUAGUGGCUAGUGAGCAACUUGUUUCGUGAAAUUAACGGUAUCUUCUCUCACAUUUUUUAAAAAAUUGAAUUAUAUAACCCACCAAAACUAUAAAGAAUUGUUAGUUUUUCUUCAUUAAAAUUAAUAUAUUGCUCCUCAUAUUGCAAAAUCAAAAUUCAGAAUAAGAAUGAUUGAUACUGUUUAUUUAUUAAAAUGAAAAUAAAAUAUAUGAAGCCUACAUAUUUUUGAAAUUAGAAAACAAGAACUUUAUUUUCCAUGGGGAGUGUUGGGAAUCAAGUUCUCAUUAUUUAAACUCUCAAUUGUACCUCACCGAAAUUUCAUAAUUUCACUUUUGUUCGCAAUUAAAAUAUUAUUAUAGUUAUUAUUCUUAUUUUUAUAGUUGUUGUUGUUGAUGAUGAUGAUGAUGAUGAUGAUGAUACAAGAUAAUAAAAUUAAUGAUAAUUAAACCAAUUUGAAUUUAGAGUGAGUGAGUACUAGGGGUGUUCAGAAUCCAAUCCGAUUCGCUCAAUCCGUCCGAUCUGCUCAAUCUGAUUCGUAUAAAUCCAAUCCGUGGAUUGGUGGAUUGGAUAUGGAUUGAAAAUUUAAAAAUCCGCAGUCGAUGGAUUGGAUAUGGAUUUACUUAUGUAAAUCCGCAGAAACCGUGAAUCCGCAAAAUAUAUAUAUAUAUAUAUAUAAUUAAAAAAUUAUUAUAAAUUUAAUUUUAAAAAAAUUAUAAAUGUGACAUUACAUAGUUACAUAAGCACUAUAACAUAUCUUAGCCAUUACUCAAUAAUAAUAUAAAAUGAAAAAUAAUUAAAUAAUCAAAUAUACAAAUAUAACUUGUAAAAAUUAUAAAACAAAAUAAAAGUAAAGUCACACGCACUAGCAAAAGCAAAGUAACAUAACGCCAAGUCACCAACAAUUUACAAAGUCACUCAAAAGCAAAGUAACAUGACGUUAAGUCACCAAUAAUUUGCAAACAAAAAACCCUAAGCUUCCCCGCCGUCACACACACUAGCAACACUCAAUACUGGUUGGAUACACUCUCGACACGGAUUUGAAGGACAUCGGCCGCGCGAUUCCGGCGAGAGCAAUCCAAUUUCUUUCCCAAGUCCAUUGAGCCACUUCACAUUCACUGGUUCCAGCUGAAUAAUUUCACUAUCACAACCUUCAAGAUCGCCACCCGUACAGCUUCUCCUGGUUCCCAUCGUGGACGGCUCCGUAAUCACCACUUUUCGACAGGCGCAACAGCCCUGGUGAAGGAUCAGACUGUGUUUGGUUUCCGAAACUUCACCAUUUCAAUUAAUUGUGGCUCUAUUUGAACAAUUAAUUUCGGUGUUAUAUUAACGUAUUAUUGUAACUUUAUUUGAACAAUUAAAUUUGGUGUGUUAUAUUUUGAAACUUUGAACGUAUUAUUAUAGCUUUAUUUGAAUAAUUAGUCUCGAUGUGUUAUAUUUUCAAACUUUAAAUGUAUUAUUUUAGCUUUAUUUAAAUAAUUUAUUUAUUUAAAUUUUAUUCAAUUUUAAAUUUAAUUGGUAGCAAAAUUAUUUUUAUAUUAUAUAUUUUUUUAUUUCAUUAGUUGGAGAGAACUAAAAAUUUUUAAUUCGAAAACUAAUGCGCAAAAUGGUGGAUUGGAUAUGGAUUUAGUCAAAUCCGCAUUCGAUCCGCAGACGUAUGGAUUGGAUAUGGAUUAAGUCAAAUCCGCAUCCGAUCCGCAGAUGUAUGGAUUGGAUUUGGAUUGAAUUUUAUCAAUCUGUGGAUUGGAUUGGAUUGGAUUGGAUUGAAAAAUUAUAAUCCGCAAAAUCAUGGAUCGGAUAUGGAUUGAUGUCCAAUCCGUUAAAUCCGAUCCGCGAACACCCCUAGUGAGUACCAUGAGUUCGCAUCAUUUGAUAUCAAAUGAGCAUCAUUACUAACUAAUAUAGGUUCGAUCGAAUUCAUCAUACGAAGUAUAUUAUCGGCUGUAGGUAUGGAAAUAAUUUUGUAUCCACAAACACUAUUUUUCAAAAUAUUUUAAGACUUAACUUAGCAUUUUUUAACCAUACAUGUAUAGGUUGUUUGACCUAUUUUAAAUAAUGGAGAUUACAACAAAUGAACAGAUGUGGAUUAGUAGUGUUGUUGAGUUCAAAAGAUUGAAGUUAAGAAAAGGGUUUCUUGAUCCAGAGAAAAUUCAAAAGAGCGAAGUGUCUUCGAGAUCAGAAGACGAAAUAAGGAAAGGGUAAGGUUUAUACUUUCAAAAUGAAUAUGUUGACAGAUCUUUGAAGAUUAUUUUCAUUAACAGUUGGAUCCCACACUUGAGUCUUUGUAGUCUCAGUCAGUCAGCUAUAAAGAUAAAUUAAUUUUGAGCGUGAAAGGGCUCAAUUGAUCACCAAAUUUUCGAACUUAUGAUCCUUAUUGAAUCUGCAUUCCCAUUUGAAAAACAAAAAAAAGAUUAACAUUAAUUUAACUUCAUCUAGAUUCCCAUUUGAAUCUGCAUUCUCAUUCCGUUCUUUGGGAAUGCGCAUAAUCAAACAAAAUCAUGUCCGCAUUUUCAAACUUGUGACCCUUCAAGCUUUCUAUAACAGCUAUAAUGAAUAAUUACAACAGUGCUACGUAAUAGUGAGCAACUUGUUUGAUGAAAUUAACAGCUUCUGUUCUCUCAUGUAUUUUUAAAAAAUUGAAUUAUCAAAGUUUUUAUUUCAAAAUUAGUGCUAUAGUUCAUUAACUUUUCAAAUUUUCUUUUUUCUUUCCACACAACAAAUUGAUUUUCCCUCCAAAAAAUGUAUUAAAUUGUUUAAUAUUGUAACUUCAAAAACUUAUAAUGAAUUUUUAAAGAGAUAAAUAGAGAAUGUCAAUCUCCCAUCUACUCAAAAUUAAUAUAUAUCAUUAACUCCUGAUUAUUUUUAUAACAACUAAUAACUUUCUGGGUAGCAUAAUUUUACAGUAUCAUCCUUGUUUGUAAGUAUAUUUUUAUUCACAUUUAUUAUAAAUUAAUUAAAUCAUAUCAAUGAAAAUUGAAAUAAAAAUUGAAGUACUAAAAAAAAUGUUUUGGUGUGAAUAAAAAAUUGAAAAUAAAAAUAUUUUUCUUAUAUUUUUUAUUUUUAAAUGUUUUUCUUUUAAUAAAUAUAUAUUUUAUAUUCUCAAAUUGAAUUAUUGAGUAAAUGACUCAUUUAUUCACUUUUUCUUUUAAUUUUUGUUAUUAGGAGGAUUUUUAGAUAUAAUGAAAAUUGUAAGGUAGUAAGUAAUAUAUAAUAAUUUUAAUAGAGAAAAAUAAAAAAUCUGUUAUUUUAAAAUAUAAAGAGAAAAAUAAUUAAUUUCAAAACAUUUUAGAAGAUAUUUCAAUAUGCGGUGGACCACAAACUCGAGUCUUUGUCAUCUCAGUCAACUAAAAGGACAUAUGCUAUAAUGUCCCUCUUCCCUCACAUAUUAAACCAAUGUGAUCUCAGAGUGAGUUUGCAUCGAAGGAGUAUCCUUACUAACUAAUAUAGGCUCGAUCAAUAGAGAUGACAAUAAUUUUUUUUAUCUACGAACAUUAUUUUUUCAAAAUAUUAUAUCUUUAGACUUAACUAAAUAUUUUUUUCACCAUGUAUGUAUAGUUUGUUUGAUCUCUUUUAAAUAGUGGAGAUCACAACAAAACAAAUGCGAAUUAGUAGUGAUGGUGAGUUCAGAAGAUUGAAGUUAAGAAAAUUAAGGGUUUCUUGAUCCGGAGAAAUUUCAAAAGAAUGAAGCGUCUUCGAAAUCAAAAGACAAAAAUAAAGAAAGGGUAAUGGUGUAAUUUUGAAAGUGAAUUUAUUGAGAGAUCUUUGAAGAUUUACUUCCGUUAAGACUUAGAUCCCGCACUCCUAAGCCUUUGUCGGCCCAAUCACUCAACUGUAAAGACAUUUUCUUGUUGAGUGUGAACAGACAUAUUGAUCACUAAAUUUUCAAACUUGUGAUCCUCGUUGAAUCUGAUUCCCCUUUGAAAAAUUAAAAAAAAGUGCAAAUAAUGAAACAAAAUUUUGUUCCUUAACAGCAAGUGUUGUCGGCAUUUUCAGACUUGUAACAAGGGAAUGCGGUCCUCUCCUGAACCCGAAUCUCAUUCCCUGUGACAAGACCCUUGUUACCCUUCAACUCGCUUUCUAAGAUAGCUAUAAUUAAUCGUGACAACAUUACUCUCAGUGAGCAAAAGUUAACAGCAUCUUCUCCCCAUUUUUUAAAAAAUGUAUUAUAUAACCCACCAAAACUAUAAAGAGUCUUUUCUUAUUAAAAUUAAUAAAUUACUCUUUAUAUUAAAUAAUUAAAAUUAAAAUUAAAAUUUAAAAUGAAAAUGAUUUAUUUAUUAAAAUAUAAAUAAAAUAUAUAAAGUUCAUAUGUUUUUUAAAUUAAAAAAUAAGAACUUAAUUUCAUUCCUUAAAUUCUCAAAUUUACCUCACAAAAAUUUCGUAAGCUCACUUUUGUCCUUAAUUAAAAUAUGAUUAUGUUAUUAUUAUGGUUAUUAUUCUUAUUUUUGUAAUAGUUGAUGUUGUUGUUGAUGAUGAUGAUAAUACAUAUAAUAAAAUUAAUAAUAAUAAAAAUAAUAACUAUAAUUUUAACAACAGCAAUAAUAAUCAUUAAUAUUAUUGUUGUUGUUGUUGUUGUUCUUCUUCUUCUUCUUCUUCUUCUUCUUCUUCUUCUUCUUCUUCUUCUUCUUCUUCUUCUUCUUCUUCUUCUUCUUCUUCUUCUUCUUCUUCUUGUUAUUAUUAUUAUUAUUAUUAUUAUUAUUAUUACUAUCCUAUUAUAAUAAUAUUAUUAAAUAAUUAUUUUGAAUAAUAAUAAUCACAAUUAUUAUAACAAACGACAAAAAUCAACUAAAGUAAUUUUAAUAACUUGUAAGAAUUCAUUUUUAUUCAUGGAUAUGUGAUUAUUUGUUAAUGUAUGCAAUUAAUUGUGAUGGUAAACAAAGAAUAUAUGGUAUAUUUUCAAGUUAAAAAAGAAAAACAAAACAAAGUUUUUACCAUUUCUUGCCUUAUCAUCUUUUAAAUUAGAGUUAUUAUUCUUUUUAUUUUUCAAGUUGCCAACUCAUCCGCAUUCUCUUUUAUUGAAUUUGAAGAUCGAUGAUCAUAAAUUUGUGUAAAAAUUUUAAGUAAAAAUUUUAAAUUAAAAUAAUCUUUUAAGUUAUUGGGAAAUAAUAACUUAGUAUAACAAAUAUUAUAUCCUAUACUUUAUUGCUACAAAACUACAAAACCAUAUAUUAUAUUAUGUUUCCAUAUUUCUCUUUUAUAGUGAAGACUCAUACUUCUUCUCUACUAAAUGCUAAAGUAUUGGCUUAAACUUUUUAAUCAGCACAAUAGACCCUAAGCUAUAUAUGUUAUAAUGUCCCUCUUCGCUCACGGAUUAAACCAAUCAGUAGCCUUCUCUCAUAUAGAAAAACUUUUUGCAUAAGACAAAUUAUUAUGUUAUCGGAAAAAUUACAGUAGACGUAAGCUAUAUAUGUUAUAAUGUUCAGAAGAUUGAAGUUAAGAAAAUUAAGGAAAGGGUAAGGAUGUAUUUUCAAAGUGAAUUAUUAAGAGAUCUUUGAAGAUUACUUCCGUCAAGAGUUGGGUCCCAUAGUUUUACCUUUUGCUCGUUCACGUGAAAGUCAGUUUAGAAUUUUUAUCUUAUUUCACAAAGCUAAUUUUUUUUAUCACAAGCAGGAGAGAAACGGCAUUUCUUAGCAGUAGUUCAUCACUGUAGUAGCGAGCGAGUGAGGAACAAAAUUACCAACAAUUAUCAAAAAUAAUUAUACAAAAAAGAUCACAUGCUAUAAUUAAUCAUGACAAUUGACAACAUUACUCCCACCGAGCAAAAGUUAACAGCAUCUUCUCCCACAUUUUUUUAAAAAAAAUUGUAUUAUAUAACCCACCAAAAGUAUAAGGAGUCUUUCCUUAUUAAAAUUAAUAAAUUACUCUUUAUACAGAGAAAUUAAAAUUUAAAAUGAGAAUGAUUGAUGAUGUUCAUUUAUUAAAAUAAAAAUAAAAUUUAUGAAGUCUAUAUAUUUUUAGAAUUAAAGAAUAACAACUUAAUUUUUUAGGGGGAGUGUUGAAAAUCAAAUUCUUAUUCCUUAAAUUCUCAAUUUUACCUUAAAAAAAUUAUAAGUUCACUUUUAUCCUUAAUUAAAAUAUUAUUAUGAUUAUUAUUCUUAUUUUUGUAACAGUUGCAGUUGUUGUUGUUGAUGAUGAUGAUAAUAGUUGAUAAUAAAAUUAAUAAUAAUAAUGAAAAUAAUAACUAUAAUUUUAACAGCUACAAUAAUAAUCAUUAAUAUUAUCGUUGUUGUUGUUGUUGUUAUUAUUAUUAUUAUUAUUAUUAUUAUUAUUAUUAUUAUUAUUAUUUUAAAUAAUAAUAAUCACAAUUAUUAUAACAAACAACGACAAUAAUUAACUAAUGUCAUUUUACUAACUUAUAACAAUUCAUUUUUUUAUUCCAAGACAAACUAACCAUAUCAAUAAUAAUACAGGUCAUUUCAAUUCUAAUUCUUACAGGUAAAGUAAAUAAUUUAUUCUGAUUCUCAUUUUUCAUUUUGAUUUUAUUCUAUUCCGAUUCCAUUUGAUUCUGAUUCCAGCCAAUUCUAAUUACCGAUUAGAAAAUGCAUUGUUACUACUUUAACAAUAACUAAUGAUUCUCCUCACAAUUCUUAUAGGGUUAUCCUUAUUUUAAAAUAUUUUUUAUUCGUAUUUAUUAUUAAUUAAUUAAAUUAUAUCAAUGAAAAUCAAAUAAAAAUUUAAGUAAUAAAAAUGAGAAAAUAUAUGUUUCGGUUUGAAUAAAAAAUUAUAAUAAAAUAUUUUUCUUACAUAUUUUAAAUAUUUUUAUUAUAAUAAAUAUUUUUUUUAUUCUCAAAAUAAAUUAUCAAGUAAACGAUUCAUUAACUCAUUUUUUUCCUUUAAAUUUUUGUUAUUAAGAAGAUUUUUGGGUAUUGACCGUGAAGGGCUCAACUGAUCGCUAAUUUUGCAGCAAUUGCCUUUUCUUUUUCUUUUUUUUAAUUGUUUUGAAAAAAUAUCCAGACUCAUUCUGCAAAGUAUCUGAGGCCAAAGCGCCGAAAGUUAGCAGUUAGUACACCCACAUGUGCUUUUCUUUACAAAAUCUAAAGUUAGCGUGGGUGUCUAUAACUUAAAUUUAAUAUAAUUUAUAAUUAGUAAAAUUCUUUGAUUGACCCAUUAAAUUUUAUUAUUCUAUUACUUAUUUUUAUAUUAAAAAUUUAGUAAUGUAGAAAAAUUCUUAAAAGUUAGAGCGCUGCUAUUCACCCCGAUUUUUAACCCCGAAAAGCGCCCCGAAUUUAAAACGCACCGUUUUGAUUAAAUUGAAAACGGUGCGUUUAACCCAUGUUUCUUCCUUUCCUUUCUUUUGCCAAACCACAGAAACGGACCUUUGCUUCCUUUUCGUUUAAUCCUAUCAUCUUGUGGUCACUGCCGCUGCUGCUUUCUUCAAGACCGAGCUCUCUGCCGCUGCUGCUUCCUUCAAAACCUAACGGCCCGUCCGCAGAGCCCAAUUCAAAGCCGUUCGAUCAAUCGACGAUCCGACACCGAGGCCCAUCAACUGGCGCGUCUGCCUCAGCUUCUUCUUCGUCCUCUCCGGCGUACACGGAAGAGCAAAUCGCGAUCGUGAGACAAAUUAAGAAACGAAAGAUUAUUGCGUGCGUUGAUGGCUCUGAUGGGUUUAAUUUACGUGCGUUGAUUCAGUUGUUGCUUGUGAUUUUGAUAAUUCUCUUGCAGUUUUUGCGUCUUCUAAUCCAAUUUAUGCCAUGUCGAGGUCUUACCCUUAUGAGUACAAGUUUACAACAGAAAGAGGGGUGAAUUUUUAUAUGAAGUCUAGCAAAUUUGAGUAGGACUAUCCGGUGGGUAGUGUUCAGAGAGUAAGGCUCGAAAAGCAAGUUGAAAAGGAUUACUUUACUAUUCUUGCACAGAAUUGCCGGUUAGAGAUUCAACGGCAGCAGUGGGGUUUUAUAAAGGAGACUCCCCAUUGUGACAUGUGGCAGACGUUUCAAUAUUCACCAGCUUGGUAAAUCUGACAAUAAUUUUGUAGUAAUCUACAUAAAGGUUGCUUGAUUGUGCUGCUAUGAUAUUCAUUAUUCAGAUAGGAGUAGCAAUCGUGUUACUGAAAUCUGGUUCAAUGAAACAAGCUGAAGCAAAACUGAAGUAAUUUUCUCCCACAUUCAAUUAAUGCAUCUUCAAAUCUUUCAUAAAGUUGAUCAUUUCCUCGGGAAAUGGAACAUUGCUCUUGUGUAAUGAAGUUUUAAGCAUUGCUGUAAAUGGUUUGUAUAUGAGAAAUUAUUUGUUUUAAUGCCAUAAUUUAUGUGCUGAUUGAUCUUUGAAGAAAUUUUGAGCGCGAUUAACUGUCUCUAGGGUCUGUUGUUGCCCAUGAUGCUCCAACAGCUGGAUGUCUAAUUAUGCAUUAUGAACCUUAACUAUCAGUUUCUAGAGCUGAUGUUCAACUAGCUAUUUGAUGAUGUUUUAGGAAGAUGUAUUUUGGCUGUUUGAGUUUCUAGAGCUGAUGUUAUGUUAGAAAUUAUAUUUAUUUUAAUUGUUGCUGCAGCAACAUAAAUAUAAACUGUUGAUUAACUUGAAUAUCCCAUUUGGAACCAAACAAUGACAAAAAUAAAAUAAUACAUCAAAACACAAGUUAGCAGAUGUUGAUUAACUUGAUACAAAUGCUCACGGUUGAGUAAUUUUAGAUACAAAUACUGAUGGUUCAGCUUACAAAUUAAAAUGAAACAACUCAAGAUUUAUAAAUUUAAAAUCAAACUGCUCAUGAUUCAGCUUACAAUCAUUAAAUAUAGGAACAAUAAUAUACAAACAAAUACUUACGGGUUUUGCAAUGUAGGAAUUCAGCACUCUAACUUUCACGAAUAAGUUGGCGUUUUGCAGUUUGGAAGCUCUGUACUUGGAGUUUUUACAUUUGCAGUUUACAGUUUGCAGUUUCAGUCUGCAAAGCGGAGUGUUGUGGUUCAAGCUUGUGCAAAUAGAAGAAGAAAGAAAAUGUUCACGUGCUGCACGGGUGGAACUAAAUGGGAAAGCAAUCAAAGCAAAAAAGCAAAAAAGCAAAAAAGCAAAGAAGCAAUCAACGCAAAAGGAAAACAGUCAAAGCAAAAAAGAAAUCAAAGCAAAACGCACCGUUUUGACAAUAUUUGGGGUACGGUUUCGGGGUUUAAAAUCGGGGUAAGUAGCUUGCUCUUUCCCUAAAAGUUAAGGAAAAUGAUGUUUGCCCCGGGUCAAACCCCGAAAAUGAAACGCACCGUUUUUAUUAACCCGCAAAACGCACCGUUUUGCCAAGCCCAUUUUCUUUAUCGAUUAAGUGCAGCACAGCCAUUCGAAGUCCUCAAUCCACAAUCAGUAAUAAAUUAUGAUUCUUUUCAAAUCGGAAGGGAGCCCUCCAGAAGGUCAAUUCCAUGAUAUAAUUAGAUGGAUGGAAGAUAUGACAAAGCGGCAAAAAAAUGUGGAGAAGGAAUCAGUUGCAGCUCUACUUUGGGUGAUAUGGAACGCUAGGAAUAAGUGGCUUUUUGAAGGGAAACAAGAGGCUCCAGCCAGAUUAGUAGCAAGAGCUGAAUCAGUUGUGGAGUCUUUUAAAAAUGCCAGCCAGUAUGAUGGGUUAAGGCCAAAUCAGAAAAGGGAGGGUAAGGAAAACCACAGGCAUUCUCUUCCAAAUGGGUGGCUAAAGGUAAAUGUAGAUGCUGCAGUGAACGUUGAGAAACAUGUAGCUGGGCUGGGGGUGGUAAUAACAGACGGGAACCAAAAUUGUAUAAUUGCUGCCAUUAACACUUCUAGAUACUUUGGCAACGUGGCAAUGGCCGAAGCUGCAGCUGUGAAAUGGGGAUUGCAGGUUGCUUUGAGAGUGGGGGGAACCUCUGUGUUGCUUGAAUCGGACUGUCAUGAAGUAGUAGAGAUUAUAAAUAACAGAGACAGUAGUAUGAUGGAAAUCUUUUGGGUGAUCUCUGAAAUUCUGGAAAUUAAGAAGAGUUUUCAGAAUUUCAAGGCUCAACACACACAUAGAUCUUGAGGGGUUUUGCAGUUGGGGUUAUGUAGUUGGGUUGUGUGGUGAAGUGAAAAAUCGAAAGCGAAAGAUGAUUUUUCUGUUUCUUUAUUACAGGAGAAAGAUGAGUUUGAUAAAGAGCUGGAAUGCUCAAGCAAAACGACGUUGUUUUAAGAAAAAUUGAAACGACCCAAAAAACUAAUAAAACGGCGUCGUUUUAUUAAAGCUUCGGGGCUUGACCCGGGGUUUGACCCGGGGCAUCUAUCAGCGCCCAAAAGUUAAUGGAGAAGGAAAAGAAAAAGAAAAAGUGUAAAUGAACUGUAUUCACCUAAGUUUCAAACAUGUGGUUCAAUCUGAAUUUGCUUUUUUCAAAAGUAAAUACAAAAGAAAAUAUAAAGAAAAAGAAAUUAAACGAGACAAAAAUUUGUGGCGUGGGUCAUUCAUAUCUUUUGCCAUUUCUUUUGUAGAGGUACAUAGGGUAGAUAUUUUGAAGUGAAAAGCAGAGCUUUUAUUGUUAUUUGCCUUAUCAUCUUUUAAAAUUAGAGUUAUUAUUCUUUUAUUUUUAAGUAGCCAACGGAUGGUAGCCAACUCAUCCGUGUUCUCUAUUAUUGAAUUUAAAGAUCAAUAAUUUAUGUUAAUAAAUAUUUUGUUAACUAUCAAAGUUUUUAUUUCAAAAUUACUGUUAUAAUUCAUUAAAAUUUCAAUUUUUCCUUUUUCUAUUCACACAACAGAUUGAUUUGCCCUCCAAAAAAAUGUAUUAGAUCGUUUAAUAUUGUAACAUCAAGAAACUUAUAAUAAAUUUUUAAAGAGAUAAAUAGAGAAUGUCAGUCUCGCAUCUACUUAAAAUUAAUAAAUAUACCACUAACUCCUUAUUAUUUUUAUAAUAACUAAUAACUUUCUUAACAAUAUAUUUUUAUAGUAUUAUCCUUGUUUGUAAGUACAUUUUUAUUCAUAUUUAUUAUAAAUUAAUUAAAUCAUAUCAAUAAAAAUUAAAAUAACACAAUAUGUUUUGGAGUGAAUAAAAGAUUGAAAAUAAAAAUAUUUUUCUUAUAUUUUUUGUUAUUUUUAAAUGUUUUUCUUAUAAUAAAUGUACAUUUUAUAUUCUUAAGAUGAAUUUUGAGUAAAUGACUCAUUUACUCACUUUUUCUUUAAAUUUUUUUGUUACUAGGAGGAUUUUUAGAUAUAAUGAAAAUUGUAAGGUAGUAAGUAAUAUGGCCAAAACUACAUUGCGUCAGGGGUUUGGUGCCCCACUCGUUUGUCUGUUAGCAAGGUCAGCGUUGGAUUUGAUCUGACGGCUGCAGAAGAGACACAAAUAUAAAGGGUAGUAACCUGAGGCAAAGGUAACAAGCCAGUCACCUGCAGAAAAUAAGUGUAUGAUAAAAUAACACAUGCAAUGAAUUUUGUAUUUUUUUUUUUUAGAAGACACAUGUAAUGAACUUGCUGGAAGCGUACAUGCAAGUAAUGGUUGGAAACAACCUACUGAAACCGUGCAAGUAUUGGUUGGGCUAAGAUUGACAUGAAAUUUCCCAAAUAGUGUCCGAAACAUUUGCAAAUAGUUAAUUCAAAGCGUCAAUAAAUGCUGGAAAAAAUACAUAUUUUUUAUUUUUUUUAUUAAGAAUACAUUUUUUUUGAUAAAAAAAUAAAUUAUUAAUGGUACAUAGCAACAAAUAUACCCAAAACAAUUAUCCAUAUAUUUGAAAAACAUUUGUUAACAAUACAUAUUUUUAGUAGUACACAUAUUAUAACAUAAACAAAUUGAGUUGUAUCAUGGACAGCCAUAAACUAUGAACAAAGAUUACGAUCUAAACUCCACAUGCAUGUUUAAUUUGUAGAUUCCAUUUUUUUCAUAAUGUGUUUCCCACCAUGGGAUAACAAGGGUUAUUCAGGCAAAACACUACGGCAAUUCAUUAUCAUAGACAGGAAAAAGACAAUGGCAAAGAUCAAUGAUUUAACACACAAGAAUGAGUGAAUAACAACAGCAAGUGAGAACCAUGCAGAAUCCUUUUUAUUAGAGAUCCUUUCUUAAAUCUUAAAUAAGAACAUUAAAUAAGCUUGAAAAAUAUUGGUAACUGGCCCAAUACACAUCCAUCUAACGGAAAACAGCGGACAGUUUGACGCAUGUGUGGAGCACUUGAGGAAACAGAGCAUCCACGGAAUGCCUAAAUUUGAAAAAAAAAAAAAUUGCAUUUGACGAAAAGGACUUUGAGCGUUCAAAUACAAAGUGUCGAUUAACCUUACAAGAUACAUCAACCAUCACAUAUGCUCAACAUGCAAUACCAAAUUAAAUUACCCAUCUCCAGGGUUGGAUUUGUCUUCAAUCAGAUGAAUGCUGGAGAGAAUAUAAUUGAAAGAAUGGCAUCAUCUACCAUGCAAGCUAAGGCUCCUUACAGAUGCUCAACAUGACACCACAAAAGAAAAUACAAUAUCAAAGACACAUCACCAACAUAUAUGCAAACUACCAAUUCUCACAGCAUGCAGUGCAACAACUCAUAAAAUAUGAAAUUUAACAUCAUCUAAGCAUUUUCUCAAGCUUAUUUCUCAUUAAAGAACUUAACUGAAAGUAGUAAACAUAGAGACAUAUAACAGCUUUAUAAGUACAGACCACAAAGUAGAACUUUGUUCGAAUGAUAAUGAUCAUAAUCCACAUUAUAAACGCAGUGAAAUCAUCAAAUGAAAUAAGAACACAGUACACAAUUACACAAAUAUUAGGCUUAAUUAAUUAUUUAGAUUAAAACACCAACUCACACAACUUCCUUGUUGGAAUCUUCUCAUAUCCCAUCUUCUUAGGGCUCAGAUCAUCAUCGUGAUCAUCAACAUCAGUGAAUUCCUCAUACGAAUUGCGAGAAUCGUGACGAUUAGCAAAGAGGCUCCACACCAAAUACAUGGUAACGGCAGUAAGCGAAUCACACCCAACGCCGAAAAGCAAAGCGACUGGUCCGGUCGCAUAGAGAGGAGAAGUCGUGCUCGAAGGGCAAAACACGACGUUUUGGCUCAUGGAUGAGGUGCUGCUCCCGAUCAUCGAUUGAAGGGAGAAUUGGACAAUCGAAGAAGAUUAAGGGACGGUGGGGACUGAAUUGGCGAAUUUCGGUGAAGAUUGUGACGAAUCCAACGGGGUUCUCGGAGUUUGGGUUAGGGUUACGGGGAUUGAAAUGGAUCGAGUAAGAGGAAAUGAAGAGGGUUUUGCAUGGCCUUCCGGAGGCUGAAAUUGAGAGGACACCAUGAAUAUUGUGAGAGCUAAGAGGAGAUGCUGAGUCGAUGACGCCAUUGAUUCGUACCACAUAGCUUCGAUUGGAAAUGAAGCCUCUAAUAGCUUUAGCCGGUUACCCAUUUUUCAAGUGUUAAAUCUCAACCGUUGACUGCCUUUCUUUAUGAUUUCAAGGGUCAUUCACAAAAGGACAAAGGUCAAUAUGCGGUGGACCACACCCUUGAGUUUUCCUCGUCGUCUCAGUCAACUAAAAGGACAAAAUAUUGAGUCUUUAAGGACUCAACUGAUUGUUAAUUUCACAGCAAUUACCUUUUUUCUUUCUUUUUUUUCUAAUUAUUUUGAAAUGGUAGGUAGCAAUUGCUUACAUCAAAAUAUCUAAACUCACUCGGCAAAGUAUCCGAGGCCAAAAUGCCAAAAGAUGGGACACCCACAUGUGCAUCUAAUUACAAAGUCUAAAGUUAAUGAAAAGAAAAAGAAAAAGAAAAAGUAUAAAUGAACGGUAUUCACCUCACUUUCAAACAUCUAGUUCAACAUGAAUUUCCUUUUACCAAAAGUAAAUUUCCUCUCGAAUUGUCCUCAUUACAUCAAACGAAUGAUGACGACGCUCUGUCCGUUUCUGGCUCUCUGCUUUUCUCUCUCACAUCACGAGACACCUCGUUUCUAACUGGGGUACCACCAUCAUAUUUAACUGUUAGGUCUUCCUACUAUGCACCUGAUGUAUGCAUGAUUCCUUAUGACAUGACAUACAGCCAAUUAAAUUCUGACAUGUUUGCAAUAAAGACUGUUAAACCGGUUGAAUUCACAAGAUCUCUUGUUUGUGUGUUUAUGUUCCAAGUUGUGUACUCUGUGUUAUGAGUUCUCUAAUUAGUCUGAUAUUAUCGCAACUGUUGCUCAAUAAUGUUAUAGGUUUUAUAAUAUAUGUCACCGGUACGAUCGCUGUCUCAAGUGGUAAACUUUGAGGCACAAAUUUAGAACGAAAAGUUCCUAAUAAAAUAAAUUAUUUAAUUAAUUAAAUAAGAAUAAAAUGAAUUUGUGAAAAAAAUUUAAAUUUAAUUUUGAAUUAUUUUGACCAAAAUUUAAGUUUUUUUUUAAUUUGUUUAAGAAAAUGCGUUGUAAUUGUCUUGUUUUAAUUGGAAAAUCAAUGAAAAAAUUAUGUAAAAGAAAAAAAAAAAAAAGCAAAACGGUUUGUUUUGGAUGGAGGCCAUAGAUUCCAAUAUUUCCUUCACGAAAACUACAAAAAAUUAUCAAAGGCAUCAAUUUCUACACUCUCACGGAGCAAUACUCUUAACCCAGAAGAAAGUGUAUAAACCAACCCCAAUUAGUCCAUCAAUGUCGUCAACCUCAUACAGCAUAAAAAAAAUCUGUGUCCAUUAAACCGCCAUUUAAACCGUCUUGAUUGAGCCAUUAGACUAUUCGUGUCAUCUUCCCAUCUCGUUGUAGUAUUUUGCCGUUCAAAUCUAGCUAUCAAUUGGGGAAAAUGGGGACCAAUCUGCAAGUCUUUAAAAUAGAAAGAAACUUUUAUUGGGCACUAUGUUCACGGUGGACCCAGCAGCAUUAAUAUUUAAGAUGGAGUUAUUUGUAUUUUAAAAAUUAUUUUAAACAUUCUAAUUUUAAUAAGAAUAUAUAUUAUAAAAAUAUUUAUCAUAUAAGUUAUUGGACAAUAUAUUAUAAGUCAACAUUAUAUAAUUACUUUGAACACUUAUAUAGCACAAUCCUAAUUCAAUUUAUUAUUCUCAUGACUUAAAUAUAAAAAUUUUUAUUUCCAACAUCUUAAUUAAUAUGUAGAUGAAUAAUAAGGAAAUUAACUUUGAGAAAAAAUUAAAUACAAAAUAUGUGUAAAGCUUUUAAAAAAUAAAAUAAAACAAAAGUAUUGCACAAGAUUUUGGGGGGGGGGGGGGGGGGGGGUUUGGCCAUUCUUCUUCUCCUCCUCUCUCUCUCUUUUGUUUGGGUAGUAUUUAUGGAACAUUUUCUAUUGUUAUGUUCUCAUCGCAAGUUAUUUUAGGUGUAAAAUUCAAUAUUGAAAAUAAAUUAAAUAAAAAAAUAGUAACUAAAAUUAUGUUAAAUUAUUUUUUUAUAAAUUAAUUUUUAAUUAUAUUAUUGUGAGUAUAUGCUAAAUCUCUUAAAAAUAGAGUGUUGAAUAAUUUUAUUAGUUUUUUAAAUAAAUAAAGUUAAGUAACUUAAAAAGUUUAAGUAAGGAUAUUUUUAAAUUUUAAACAGUAUACAAAGUAAAAUUUAAUUUUUUUAUAAUUAAGCUAUGAGCGUGCAAAGUAAUAUUUAGAAUACUAAUAAUCCUACCUUAAUCUUUAUCAUCACAUUAUUUUCCAUAAAAAGUUUACAAUUACCUCUUUAUUGGAUAAUUUUGUUCCCUCUCUUACCUUAUGUUCCCUUACAUUCUCAUUUCUGCAUCACCAUUUAAAUUAUAAUCAUAACGUUAAUCUUUAUCUAUCACAUAUUUUGCCAAAUUUAUUCGCACCGCAAAGCUCUUUCCUUUUUUUUUCCCCGUUAAGUUUGCUAUAAUGUACGUGAAGAAUUUAAAGAGAUCUUUCGUGUCCUUACCCUUUUUUUCGGGUGCACUUUUGCUGCUUUUUUACGUUUCUCCAGAAUUCACUUCAACAUGACUGGCGCAUUUUCUUCUUUCUCGCUGCAACAUCAACUAGGCCACCACCUCUUGCCUCUCCCGGUUCCCCUCAAUUUUCGUAUUCAAUGUCCACCGUUGAUUGUACAUUUAUUAAAAUUCUGUGGUUAUUAUUUUUUUGCAUAUAUUUAAUUCCACACGGUCUAUCGAUAGAGCAGGUGCAUCGUAGUUGUGGCCUUAACCCUGUUAUUGGUAACUCAAUAGCUAAUUCUAAUGUUUCAUCAAGCAGUUUAGAGAUAACCUCUCUCGCUGAACACCCUGGAGUAACGCAAUCCAGUUUUCCAGUGCAAUCAUCAGACAGUUGAACAGCUUCUGAAUUCCCUUUGCUUUUCUUGUUUUCUUUUCCAUGAAAAGGGAGCUCAGGCUUCAAUAUAUCUGGGGAUUGAGUACUAAUGAUAAAGACAACAUACGGUAGAGGACACAAAUUGUUAUCAAAGAAUGAUGCACUUUUCAACUGAGUACAGUAAAGCAGUACAGUAAAGCGAGAAUGGGUAAUUAGUUUUACCUGCUAAGCGAAAAUCUAGACUCCUGAAGGUAACCGAUCUUGGGUGAAGCAAAUAAAGAAGAAGGCGAAGUAAAAUUCACUGAGUUGAAUGAGCGAUCAUUGCGUAUGGACUUGAUUUGUUCAAUGGGUGAAAGACCGCUGAUAUAAUUAAAGACUGGAGAAUCCUGUACGUUGACAAGCAUCAUUUUUAAUCGAACAGAGAGUCUUAAAAACCUUGUCAGUGGCAAAUGAUCACGACAAGAAAUCUGAAGUAGAAACAGCAUAGCUCAACAAAUCACUAAGAGAAUAAGACCAAUAACCAAGCAGAUAAAAGAAAAGCAAAAUAACCCAUCUCAAAAUCACCACAUGCACAAUUUAAGGGGUUUGUGACAUGGGUUUAAACAUGAUUUAACAAGUGCCACCUGUGAAUUGUCAGAGAUUGUAUUUUCAUACACGUGUCAAAUUUUCAAAUCCAACAAAUUGUUAUCUUUCUAAAGAGGCUAAUAUUAUUAUUAUCUAUGCAUAGCAUGCUAUAAACAAUUCAUAUUACUAGGGCCUUUGUUUUCUGUGCACAACAUAUGGACAGAGGAACAAAUCCCUGAGCUAAAAUCAUCAUAUUCCAAAAUAUUCUAUUAAAUCAACACCACAAAACGCGAACGCUAAACAGAAUUGGAGCAAUUUACCAAAGCUAUUUGUCACGCAAAGCACUAGUACCUCAGAACCCAAUUUGCAAAAAAGCACCAAAAAUGAAAAAUAACAAAUGCCCAGAUGAAAAAUCAGGAAAAAAAAAUGCUCAAAUCCAAAUUACAACCCCAUAAGUUGAGUCGUUCUCUUCGAACUGAAUUAAAAAAGAUUAAAAAAAUAAAAUAGGGAGAUUGACCUCAAACUUUGGAAACAGAAGCGACAGCGAUCUGUUUCUUGUCUGGAGUGUCCAUUUCUAUAAUCUACUUUGUCCGUUUUCAGUCGCUCUGCUACAGAGCUUCUUCCCUCUGAAGCUGAAGCUCACACACUCUGCAAAACGAAAGCAUUUCUUUUUGAUUGAGAGGCGGGAAGGCGGGAAAAUGAGAGAAAUUUGCAUUUGUUUUCUCUUGGUUUGGUCAUACCUGUGCGGGCCCCAGCUUGACAAGCGGUAUUUUUACUAUUUGUAUAAUUUGCAUGACGCGUGUCACGCAAUGACGAUAAAAUAUAUAUAUAUAUAUAUAUAUUGUUAAUUUUUCACUUAACAUUGAAAUAUCAUAUAAUUUUUCCAAUUUUAUGGUUAUUUUCUCGCCCUUAUGCCACAUUCUUUUGAUCAAAUAAUACAGUAAAACUUUUCUAUAAUCGUAAUAUUAGAGCCAAAUUAACUUUGUUUCUGUAAAGAGGCUAUAGCUUAAUAAAGGUAAAAUUAUAAAAAUUAUUAUUUUGACUCAGUUAUCUUUAGUGCAAGUGAUAUAAAGUACAAAUAUAUGAUAAUUAAUUAAUGAACUAUGUCAAAUACAAUAUGCUGACAAUUAGGGGUGGGCAAAAUCGGGUUCGGGUCGGGUUCGGGUCAACCCGAUCGGGUUUCGGGUUGUUCGGGUUAGACAAGGAGCAAUCCGAACAUAACCCGAAUUAAUGAUCCGACCCGAACCGACCCGAACUAUCUUCGGGUCGGUUCGGGUCGGGUCAUUAAUUCGGGUUAUGUUCGGGUUGGAUUUAAAAUGGGUAGGAUUGAGUUCGGGUCAAUUUGGGUCAGUUCGGGUCAAUUCGGGUCGGUUGAAAUCGGGUCAGUUCGGGUCAAUUCGGGUCAGUUCGGGUCAGUUCGGGUCAAUUCGGGUCGGUUGAAAUCAGGUCAGUUCGGGUCAAUUCGGGUCAGUACGUUUUUUUUUUUUUUUUUUUUUAAGAACCCGAUCGGGUAUUCGGAUCGGGUCGGGUUUGACCCGAACCGAUCACAACCCGAUCGGGUUUGUAAAUUUCAAACCGAUCGGGUUUCGAUCCCGACCCGAUCCGACCCGAACCCGAAAUUUAUCGGGUCUGGUUGGGUCGGGUCGGGUCGGGUCGGAUCGGGUAAAAUGCCCACCCCUACUGACAAUGAUAAAAAAGAUAGAUAAUUUCAAGAAACUAAUGCAUAUAUUUAUGUAGUGUUGGGAUUAUACAAAAUUAUCUUAAAAGUGUAAAGAGUAAAGUAAUAUUCUGAUUAAUUUAAAAAAAAUUAUUUUAUCUUAAUCUUUAAUGCAACAUAGCUUUUUUUUUUUUUUUCUUAGCAACAAAGCAUUGUUCCAAAUAAUUAUUAUUGGAUUCAAAUCAUGUCCUAGGCAUUUUUUCUUCUAGUCGUCUUAAACUUUUAAGGAUUUAUUGGCAUGUGUCAAUCAUUAAUGAAAUUAAAUAACUAAGACUUUGUUUUAAUUAACGUUUACAUAAAUAGACAUCAAAACUCACGUGUGAUUCUUAUCAAAUUUUUUCCUGCAAAUUCUUUUCCUCUCAACUAUUCAUAUUUUGACAUUAAUUUCCAGCAAAUUAUUAAAAAAAAGAAGCGUAAAAUGGAGAAAAGUGAUUGACAACAAGGUUUGCAUCUUAAUUUCAAAAUUUCCCUUUCUUUGCUAUUUUUGUGGGUUCUACAAUUGUUGUUUUCACUCUCAGACAUGGCAAGUCCUUUGACAAAUGUUUCCCCGUUAGCAGAUUUAUCAUAAUGCAUCUCUCUGCAUCCCCACCUAAGAUGGAACCUGUUCUCACAAGAACAGACUCCAAGGUUGGGAAAAUCAAUUGAUCAUCGGAGAAAACAAACAGGAUUAACAAAUCACUACAAUGGUGUGAACCCGUAUAUACAAACGUACCUGCCCCCUUUGUCUGUGAUAUAUUUUCUUAUUGGCCCACUCAAAUAAACAUCCGGAGAAUCCUUGAGCAUCUGCAAUAGGGAAGCCUCGGUCUUAGUUGCAAACAGUGCAAAUAUAGUAUGCAUACAACGAGCAAUGAUGUUAUCACAAUCAAUAAACCCAAGGGCAAACGCAACAGGAUCUUACAUUCUUUGGAUACUCAUCCAUGUACCACCCUUGGACAAAAACCAAUCAGAGAAGCUUAUCUGUAAGAAGAAAUGAAGUUUGAGGUAAAAUAAAAAUUUGUAGGAACAGGGAUUGAAAUUCAACAAACAAGAAAAUAUGUUGUUUGUUGAAAUUCAACAAACAACAAACAAGGCUCCAUCAGGAUCAAGAAGUGCCUUUACAACAGGACUCACCGCAAGAGCAAUAGCAUUUCUUGAUUUAUCAUAAGUCUGCACUUGAGCAAUAUACGAGGCAAAGUACAUCAAAAGAGAAUCCAAAAGAGGCAAGAAGCUUCAACAUGAAAAAAGGGAGUACUGCCUCGUCAUACUGCUUUGCAAUCACAGUGCAAAAGAUAACAUCAACAAAAUCAAAAUCGAGCAUAAAUCUGUAUGCACUACCUUAAGCUGAUUUGUAGACAAAAAUGCACGAAUCCCAUGUAAUGGAGCUCCAAUCGGAAACCGGAAAUCAAGUUCUGGAGUUGAAAAUCAAAAUCAUGAAUCAAAUCAGAGUUAUUAUUGAAUUAGACAAUCCAUAAACCAAUAGAAGGUGAUGUCAAACCAUCAAGCAUAACUAUUAGUUGUUUUAAGUGAUCAAGAAAUAACUAUACCACCAAUUUC